UGUUACAUGGAAGAAUAUGGCGUAACAGCACAAGAGGCAUAUGAUGUAUUCACCAAGCAUGUUGAGAGUGCUUGGAAGGAUGUAAAUCAAGAGCUUUUGAAACCAACAGAAAUGCCAACCGAGGUUUUGAACCGUAGCCUAAACCUUGCAAGGGUGAUGGAUGUACUUUACAGGGAAGGCGAUGGCUAUACAUAUGUUGGAAAAGCGGCUAAGGGUGGAAUCACUUCAUUGCUCAUUGAACCAAUUGCACUUUGAAAUUAUGUUAAUUUUUCCUCUCCAAGCUUGUUUCCUAAGAAAUAGUUAUUAAGUUCUAAUUAAUAAUGUUUUAUAAUAUUCAUAUAUUAUAAAAGAAAGUCCAAAUCUAUUAUCUUUGUACUUAUUGCCUUAUAUUAAUUCAAUAAAGUUCUUUCCAAACUUUUCAUUGUGAAUAUCUUCUAUUUUAUAUAUUAAUUGAUUUUUUUAUAUAUUUUUUUGGUAUAAAAUAAUAUGUAAUAUAAAAAUAAGAUCAGUUAUAAAUACCCGAAUUAAGAUUAAAAAAAAUCCACUAAACACUACCACCUAAAGUUUAUUAAGAUAAGUUUUGAAUUAUUUAUUUAUUUAUUUCGGUAUAUCAUUAACUUUGAAAAAUAAAAUAUUUGAGAAAUUAUUUUAUGAAUCUUUCCCACUACAUCAUUUAGGGUUUAUUUCCAUUUUUGGUAUAAUGACAUUUCAGCAACUUUUUCCAUAUCAUUAACAAAAUUUUGGUAUUUUUUUUAACCCUAAACCUUGAACCAUGAAUCUUAAAUCCCAAACCAUAAACCUUGAAUCUAAAACCUUAAAUCCCAAACCCUGAACGUUGACCUCAAACCCUAAACCUAAAUAUCAAACUCUAAACCCAAACUCAAACUUUAAAUCCCAAACUCGAAUCUUGAACCUUGAACCUUAAAUCCUAAAUUCUAAACCUUGAACAGUUUCUAGUUUGGGGUUCAGGGUAAAAUAAUUACCAAAAUUAUAUGUCAGUGACAUGAAAAAAUUACUAAAAUAUCAUUAAAUAACUGGAAAUGGACCAUAAAUAAUAUGAUCAGAAUGAUCCAUAAAAAAAUUUCUCCAAAAUAUCGAAUAUUAAUUUCCACUUAAAAGUCAACAAAUAUAUAACCAAUCCCAAAAAAUCAAUAGUGAAAUUCAAAUUUGUGUUACACAAUAUGUUGCAUCACAUGUAAUAAAUAUUGUAAAAAGAUAAACGUCUUUUUUAAGGAAACUAUCAAAUUUAACCAUUAGUAGAUGAUAAAAGUUUUUGUAAUCAAAUAAAUUAUAUUAUAAUUUAUGUUAUACAAAAUUUGGUAAUAAAAUAAAAUAUAUUAUAAUUUAUGUUAUACAAUGUAGUAUAAUAUAUAAAAAUAUUGUAAUGUUGUAGUAUAUUUUGUAAUGACUAUUUUCACCAACCAAAAUAUAUUAUUUAAAUUUGAAAUAACGUAAAUGUUAAGUUUCUAAUAUAUAAUAUUAUAUAUGUACGUAUGUAUGAGUCAAGUACUGACGGCUACCAAAACAAAAUGUUUUAAAUCAAAGAAAAAAAAAACAAUGAGUAUAUUAUAUUAUUAGUCACUAAAUUAUAAGUAAAUUUUUAUUUUGGUCACUUAAUUAAAAAAGUUACAAAUUAAUUACAAAUGUUUUCUAGAUUUUUUUUUUGGUCACUUGACUAUUAAGUGACACUUUUUAGUUAGUAUAAUUACAAGUUUGGUCCUUGAUUUUUAUACUUUAUGUCAAUUUGACCCUAAUGAUGUAGUCGUAAACCAACUAAAAAUCUGACUAAGGCAAGUGUACCUAUCAAUUAAUAGUAUAGCUACGGUGAGCAAAUAUAUCGUUCCCACGAUGACUAAAAGUAGUAGAAAUUACUAUCUUUGUAUUAUUUAAUCGAUAAAUUCGAAUGAUUGAUUGAAAAUUAAAAUUAUCUAAACUAAUUGCUAAUGAACACGAUAAAAAAUAAUUAAGGAAAAUAAACGAUUAACAACCAAGAAGCGAAACAAUACCCAAGAAAGAAUUCACCUAGGUUUCAUCUGUUAUUAUCAAUCUAAAUUACGUAAUUUCUUCACUUUGUAUCUUGAUCUGUAGAAAUCCCUAAAUUAUGUUAAUAUCUCUCUUCAAGACUAAGAGCAACUGACUCUAGGUUGAUUAAUUGAAAUUUCUUUCUAAUUAAAACCCAUAUUACUGCAUUAACUCAAUCUAUGAAUCCCCCUAUUAGAUUUCACUCUACUGUAAUAUAUUUAUGUCGUCCUGUUUCUAGGAUUGCAUGCAACUUCACUCAAUUAUGCUAGAUCUACUUUUAGACAAGGUAUAUUCCUCAUCUGAUUUAAGCACAUCAAACAUGAAUUAAUAAUUUAGAAAUAUCAAACUAAGAAUUAAGCACACAUAAUUGAGAACAAGUGCAAUACCCCGAAAAUUUACUACAUUAAGAAAGUAAUAUAAUAUCCCUGAUAUAGUAAAAUAAGGAAAUAAAGUGAAAAAGGGGUAAUUUUGAGUUAUGUCAACAUUGGGAAGUAUAUUAUGACAUAUUAAUUCAAGAAAGGAUUAAAUCGUAAAAGUGAGAAAAGUUUUGUUGCCCAAGAGUAAAUAUUCAAAAUUUGAGGGGUUAAAAUGUAAAUAUGAAAAAGUUGAAGGACCAAUAGUGUAAAUAUUUUAAGGGUGGAAUGAUCUAGAAAUUAAGGAAAAUGGAUGAAUUGGGACCAAAUUGAAUAGGUGAAGAAUUAUGAGGACUAAAUCAUAAUUUUACCAAAUUAAGUGAUGACUCAAGGAUGAAAUUUUAAAAGAUCAUAAAGGGCAAAAUGGUGAAUUAGAAGAAAGAGAAAUCUAGAAGAAAAUGAUGAUGUUGGAGAUAUUUUAGAUUAAAUAAAUAAAUAAAUAAAUAUUAGUUUAUUAAUAUUUUAAUUUGAUUUUUAAAUGAUAUUUUAUUAUUUUAUUAUUAUUCUAUUUAGUAUAUAUAUGGAAGGAAAGAUGAAGAAUCAUCUUCUUCUUCCCAUGCAUCAAUGUAUGAAGAGAAAAGAAAGAAAGAAACUUUCUUUUCUUUACAAUUUGGUCCUUUCACCAAAUAUUCGCCAUUUUCACUUAGAAAUCAAAAAAAUUUCCAUAUCCAUCAAGAGAGAAAGAUAACAAGGAGACUAUGGGGAGUUAGAAUAUCAAGUUAGAUUCAAGCAAUAGAAGCUGGGGGAGAAAGAAAAUCAAGUUAAAGUUUGAAACUAAGAGGACAAGAUAAGAACAUCAAGAUUUCAAUAUAUUUUGAAGUUUGAUAUUAUUGAAAAAGCAUGAAAAUGAUGUUAUAGUAAAGUUUUCUUAUAUAAGAUCUUAUGUUCUUGAUAUAUUAGUGAAGGGAAAUAAGUGAAAGUGAUGGGAAAUAUUAUAGAGAAAGGGAAUAAGGGAGUUAUAAACUUAGUAAUCAACAUCUUGCACUAAAACAGUUUUGGACAGAAGUAGUACGUUAAAUUUGAAAAAUCAUCAUAAAUCGUAGAAAUCGAAUUAGAGGAUGAAAAAAUAUGGAAUUAAAGCUUAUUGAGUCUAGUUUUUCAUAAAAGAAACAGUGUAAGUAAUAGAAUUGUAAAUCAUGAGAUAUAAUAAAUUUUUUGAGACAAGGUCAGAAUGAAUUCGGGUUUCCCUAUUCUGACUUUGGAAAAUAAUUAAAAAUUGUAUAAAAAUAAUUGUGGGUUAUAAUUUAUAUGUUUAAAAUUAUUAAUGAAUCUACCCUCAGUAAAAACAAAUGGGAACAUCAUCCAAAUCUCGUACGAGGAGAUAAUUAAUUUUUAGUGAAGAAGGGUUGAAACUGUCAGACAGCAGAACAGGGAUGCCUUUAAAGAAUAAACUAUACUUAUUGGCUAAACCAUAAAUUCUGAAAAGUUUAUGGUAAGAAUAUAUGUGAGUUUAGUUUCAUAUAAAUUUAGCAGAUCUUAAUUUGGAGUUCCGUAGCUCAAGAUAUAAAUAAUUUAGUGACCAUGACUCAAGUGGACAGCUUUGAAUGAACAUAUAAAUAAAUAGUGAAAUUAUAGAUAAUGUUACAUAUAAGCAUGUUAUAAACAUUAAGGAUGUGGAAUGGAGAGGAAGAGGAGGAAAAUAUAUGAUUAUUCAACUAGCAUGAGUUUUCAUUAAAAAUGGCUAAUUUGCAUGCUUUAGGUUUAGGGACUAAAUUGAAUAAAAGUAAAAUUUUAAGGGUAGAUUUGUAAAAAUAUCAAAAAGUGACCAAAUUGAAUGAAAUAUUAAUUUAGAUCUAGAUUGGGUGGAAAUUCGAGGAAAAUAAAAAUUACCAAAAUGUCCUUGAAUUUUGGUAUUUUUGCAAUUUAGCCUGGUAAGUUCGUAUGAACUAUAUUCUGUAUAAUUUUAAUUAAAGUGAAUGUUAUUUGGUGAUGAAUAUUAUAUAAAUAUGUGUUUUAUUAUUGGAAUUGAAUUAUUAUUGGUAAUAUGUAUAAUUAUUAGAUGCAUUGAAAUUAUUAUCGGAAGCUCGAUUGGGUUGGAAGCUUGUCGGAGAUAUAUCACACUAUCCAUUGGUUCUAUCGGUAAUUUUGGAUGAUUUGAUUCUGGUUAUAAUGGAAUGUAUAAGUUAAAUUGGCCAACGUUAGCUCAUUAAUGUUUAGAUUUUAAUUGGUUAUAAAUAUGAAUGCUUGAUAAAAUGAAAUGUCUGUAAAUUAAUUUGUAAACUCCAGUAAUGCUCUAUAACCCAAUUUUGGCGAUGGAUACGGGUUAGGGGUGUUACAACAAGAUCCAAGUAUUUAUUGCAUAAAAAUAGAAAUCAAAUAACAGAAUCUAUCUUAGGGUUCAUCUCCCUAGGUAUUUUGAAAAUUAGUUCAUGAUAACAAAUAAAAACAUUCCAAAGACAAUAUAACCACAAGAAAUAAAGAAACUCUUAAUAAACUUCAAAGAAAUCAAAAGGAGAUCUUUAAUCCUGAUGGAAAUUUGCUUCAGAGUCAGCUUCAAUGGUGUUUUUCGAGUUAUUUUCUUGAGUAUUUAAUGAUAGUCCUCUCCCAUCUUCUUAUUUUUGUCAUGUAUAGGUCUUAAAAUGUUCGAAAAACCUAUAAAAAAAUUUCUCGCGAGUUUGGAGUGCGAUUCGCUAUUUCCACACGGGUUGGCACAUGACCGUGUGGCAACUCAUGUGGCUUAGAUGGUCAUGUGUCCAGCCCAUGUAGAACGAUCUAGCUUGUGUGGCUCCUAAAACCUGUUCUGAUUUUCGCUCCUUUCCAAAUGCUCCCCUAAAUAUAAAAACAUGAAUUUAAAGGAUUAGGAAUAAAAAAUUCACCAUUUAAAUCGAAUAAUCAUCCAAAAACCUUUAAUGUGCUUUAUAUUAGUUUAAUUCUACUUUAUAAUUUGUUCAGGCAUGUAUUUGUGAUUAUACUAUAAUCACACCGUAUUGUACUUGUAAACUAAAACAAAAUUUAUAAUUUCAUAUUAUUUUUUUAAUAUUAGUUUUACAUCCUCACUCAUCAAGUAAAUUUGGGUUAUAAUUAUUUGAUUAUUGAGCUUCUGAAGAUGAAUUUUUUAGGCAUAAUGACUUAUUUGAUCUUUUAAAUUUUUUUUUAAAAAGUCAUUUUAGCCUUCCAUUUAAGUUUUUGUCUCGUUUAGCUGUUAAAUUUGCGUUUUCUACCAAAUCACCCUAAAAUGGAUUAAAAAGCUAAUAUAUGUUAACUUUGUUAGCAUGAUUGCCAUGUGGAUACUAUCUCAACAAUUAAUUUUUUUAAAAAUUUAAUCAUAAAAAAUCAAAAAUCCAAAUCCAAAUUAACCAAAACCCGAAAUAUUUUGAACUUAAAAUGAUUUUAACGAAAAAAGAAAUUAAAUCUAAAAUGAACCGACCAAAAAACCCAAAACCUCAUGUUUAAAUUAUAUGAAUUUAGAAUUAUUCAAAUCAAAAUUCUUAUUCCAAAAUUAUUCAAAUCUAAAAAUUUUAAACUAAAAUAUCCUAAAAAUGUUAAAACUCAGAAUUAAUUGUUCCAAAUCACCCGGCCGCUCAACUGAAUGAUCUAAUUAUAGGUAAUAAUUGAAGCUUGUUUAAUUACUAAUUGUUUACUAAUUGUUUUACGAUUUUUGUUAAGUUAAAAGAUAAUUUAUUAAUUUUAUAUGAUCCAACAUAGAGGUGCUCAUGGGUUGGGCGGCCCGGCCCGACGGCCCGCCCGAAAUUUGGGAGGGUUCGAGUAAAAAUAUAGGCCCGAAUUAUGGGCUUGGGCAAAAAAUAAGGCAAAAUUUUUUUGGCCCGGGCCCGGCCCGGCCCGGCCCAGAUCUAAUUAAUAUAUAUUUUAUUUUUCAAUUUUAUUAUUACAGUUACAUUUCCCAAUUCCCCUCCCCAUUUCCCAUUUCCCGACCCCGUGUAUCUGUAAAUCCUUAACCCCUUCCCUCCUCCCUUUUUUUCCCCCAAAUCGAAAACCCACCUCCACCGAUCCACCAUUCCACCUCCGGUGUCCGGUCCUCCACAACUCCACCUCCACUCUAGCCUUCAACGUGGUAGAAUUUCAAAGGUAAGUUUGCUUUUAACCCUAUUUCUUGUUAACGGUUUUCUAAUUUUUCAACGUCUUCUCCCCUUUUUGCUUUUUGAUUUUGAUUGUGAUUUUGAUUUUUGCUGUUAACGAUUUUCUGAUUUUGAUUUUGAGACACUGAAUCUUGGGGGAUUUUGAUUGUGUUUACACUUUACAUAUUGUUCUAUUUUUUUUUAGUUCUUUUGCGGAUUAAUGUGAUUUUCUUUUCUUGAAUGAUGAUUGUUCUUUUGUUGCAAAUUCGUUCUUUUAUUAAAACCGAAAAAGGAAGAAAAUCAAUAGAAUUGGAUUUAGGGUUUAUGGAAUCUAAAAAAACUGAAAAAAUAACCCUCCAAAUUGACUGCUUAAAUUAAACUAAACUAAUAUGUCACUGUCAUUAACAACAAUUUUCAUUUUGGAUGAGAAUUAAGAGCAAAAUUGUAUUAUUCAAUUAUUAUUGGAUGAGAAUUGAUUUAUGUUUUAUAGAACAUGUAAUUUGCAGGGCUGAAUUCUGAGAUCACAUACAAGUAUAUUUUUUCUGCUUCUUUCAUGCAUGCUGGUUCACAAACAGUAGGUGGUAGCCUCGUUAAGGCUUGUGGUAGCUUGGGUGCUAUUAAACAAGGUAAGCAAGUUCAUGGAAACUUUUUAGUAUCACCCUAUUUUGAUGAUGAUGUUGUUAAGUCAUCUUUGGUUGAUAUGUAUGCAAAAUGUGGAUUACCUGAUGAUAGUCGUUUAGUUUUCGAUUCUAUUAAGUUGAAAAAUAUGGCUUCUUGGACUGCUAUCAUAUAUGGCUAUGCUAGAAAAGGAAGAAAAGAAGAGACUUUGGAGUUGUUUUUAAGGGUUCACCUGAAAAAUUUGUUUGCUUGGACUGCUUUGAUAUCUGGGUUAAUACAGAGUGGAAAUGGGGUUGAUGCAUUUGGCUUGUUUGUUAAUAUGAGAAGGCAAGGGAUUAUUAUAAUUGACCCUCUUGUGCUUUCAAGCAUUGUUGGUGCCUCUCCUCAUUUAGCGAUGUUGGAAAUAUAAGUUUUACUUAAAAUCAAAAGUUAGUUUUUUUCUUUCUUUCUCUGAUCUUUACUGUAAAUAUAAGUUUGAUCUAUUGUAGUUAAAUAACUAGUUUAUUAUACUGUUUUAACAUAUUGUUUUAAUAUAUUGUUUUAGUAUACUGUUAUAAAUAUACCAUUUUAAUAUAAUGUUUUAAUAUACUGUUAUAAAUAUACUGUUAUAAAUAUACUGUUUUAGUAUACUGUUAUAAAUAUACUGUUUUAAUAUACUGUUAUAAAUACUACACCUUAAUUAUUAAUGUAAUAUACUGGUUUAAUAUAUUAUUAUAAAAUUUGUAAUAUACUAUUUUAAUAUAUUGUUAUAAAUUAUCACAGUGAGACCAGUUAAAUUAUCAUAGUUGUCGAAAUCGUUUUUUGAAAAACAAAAAUUUAGUUGUCGACUUUAAAAAUAAAAUUGGAGUCGCCACUGAUCCUUUAUUAAGGUGUGAUCGGCUCACCUUAAAAAUUAUUUUGGUCUACGAAUUUUGAGAAAACGAGUUCGGGAGUCAGUUACGUACGAGGAAGGGUUAGCACCCUCGUAACGCCCAAAAUCGGUACCAAAUUGAUUAUUUGAUGUCUUGGUGUCGAAAGUUAAAAAAGAUUUUAAAAUAAGCUUGAAUGAUGAAAUUUGAAAAAUGAUAAUCAAUUGUUCAAGUCAUGUAAAGAAACUGAGUCCCAAUACGUUAGGGUACAAUUCCUCAUAAUCCCCGAACUUUGAAUAUCACUUUUAUUUUAUGCAAAAAUCUUCAUUUCGAGAAAGUAACAGGCCACACCCAAUACGUUAGGGCACAACAAGUUAAGUUCCCAAAAAUGAUUUUUAUGCUCAUGCAUUUUGAAUAAAGAAUAUUCUCAGUCAUUUAAGAUUGACAAAGAAAAUCAGAACCCGAUACGUUAGGGCUCAAUUUUCCUCGAAAAUCCCAAACUUCAAAAAAUGCUUUUAUUCAAAAAACCUUUAAAUCAAGAAAAUAACUUUGAUGAAUGGUUAAAACUAAAAUGUAUUUUUAAAAGGGUACGUUAAAAAAGUUAAUGUACAAUGUGGUACAGAUACUUUAAUUCACAACAUAUACGAAUAAAUAUUUACAAAUAUAUAUAUACAAAUAUAAUAUAACAAUAAAGUUGCAAACAUAUGUACACAUAUAUCAAAAACACAUAUACAAGUAUACAUGCAAAUAGAAGAAAUGAAAUAUAUCCAAUAAAACAAACAAAAAACAUGUAUAAAAAGAAAAUAAAAGUAUAAAAGAAAAUGCAUAUGUAUAUAUUUUCAGAAUAAAGGAAAAAUAUAUAAAAAAUAAGAAAAUAAAAUAAGGAUAUAAGGAAAAACGUAUGUAUAAAUAUAUGCAUGUAUAUAUUAUAUAAAACAAAUGCGCAUGUGUAUGUAUUUUACGAAAAACAUUUUUUGAAAAUGAAAUUCACAAAAUAUAUGUUUUGUAAAAAAUAUGAAAGAAAAAAAGAAAAUUAUAUAUAUAUAAAAUGUGCAUGUAUAGAAAACCAAUAUAUGUAUAGAUAUAUAUAUUAUAUAAACGUGUGUAAAUGUAUAAGAAUACUAGAAAAACUAAAAAAAAAAUGACUAAUGAAGGAUUAAAUCAAAAAGAAUCUUAAGGGCCGAAUUUAAAAUAAAAUUUUAAAAAAGGGGCCACUUGAAUGCGCGCGUAACAGUGGAGGACCAAAAAGGAAAUAUGCCCAUUGAUCCCACGGCACCGUUUCGACGUAAUCUACAGUCCUGGUUGAUGAACCAAAUUGAAACAGGCGCGAAAUUUUGUGGCAAAAUUGCAAACGUGCGAAAUACUACAUUUAAAAUCAAAAUAAAAUAGGAAGGACCGGACGUGCAAAUAUCCCAUAUGACGUCAGAACGCGCGAAUCCUCCCCUCCGGGUCGGGUCACCGCGCAGGUCUGGCCAUUCAAAACGGCGUCGUUUUGAUCUGUUAUUUAAAACAGAAUUUUCUUUCUAAAACCAUUUUAACAAAAUGAAAAUAAAUAAAUCAAUAAAUCCCCCCCUUUUGCUCUGCUAGGGUUUCACCCCUAGCGUCCUCGCGCUGCCGCUCGCCUGGCCAACGCUCCGAUCGCGACGGAGGUGGCCACCGAUCCGGCAUUCUCAACGAAUGGGGUAAGAUCCUUUCCCUUGCUUUUAUUUCUAAAAAAACGCAAAAAGAAAAGAGAAAUAUAAAAACAACAGAAUGGAACCCGAUUCACCUUUUUAAAAACUUUGUAUUUUUAAUAUUUUUCUUUUGUAUUUCUCUGUAUCCACUCUCUGUUAUCCCCCUUUUACAAAAUAACAGUGGCUUUAUAUAGCCCAAAAACUAUUUGUUGCUUUUUAUUUUACACUAUAUUUUCGCGGAUGGACUCUCUGAGUCCGUGUUUGCAGGCGAGAGUGGAUCAAAUGGCGCGCGUGGAGAGGUCAGCCCUGAGACGUGUGGCGCUUGGAAAGGCUGCUGAAGGCGGGGAGGCUGCGACGCUCGCUUGCUGGUACUAUUUUAGGUGUAUUGGGCUAGGGUUUAGGUUGGGUAGUGUAUUGGGUCUUGUUCAUUAGCUUGGGCCUGAGUGUUAUAACGUGAAAUGGGUUUUAGAUUGAGCCUGGGCCGAUUGGGCCCUAUUACAGCUGCCCCUCUUUGCUCAUUGUCGUGUAACGGGAAUAGAGCAAAGACUACAGGGCCCAAUUGUCCCUUGUCUUGUGGAGCCUCAACUUCUUCAAUGCUUCUCUUCUUUAGGUAGCCACGUUCCUUCCUGCUGCAUCUUCAGGGGUAUAGGCACUGGUGCUCCAAUCUACUCCACUGCAAUGUCGGGGAGAUAGGAUUUGUAUGCUGUAGCUUCUUAAAAGGACAAAAUUUGCUAUUUUUAAUCUGCUCCACUGCAACUUCAGGAAGAUAAGACUUGUAGCUUCAAUUUGUUCUGCUACAACUUAAAGAUAAAUCUUGGCGCGAUCUGCUCUGCUGCAACUUCAGAGAGAUGAGAUCUGUGGUUUUAAUCCACUCCAUUGCAACUUCAAGGAGAUAGGAUUUGUUACUUCUGUCUGCCCCACUGCAAUUUCAGGGAGAUAAAACCAGAUAUAAUUUGCUCUCUGCGACUUUAGAGUAAUGGGAUCUGCUGCGCUUGAUCUACUUCACGCCAAUGAAGACAAGGUCUGUUCUCUUCGAUCUACUCCACCACCAGUAUGGGGAGACAAGAUCUGUUGUCUUUGAUCUACUUCACGCCAAUACAUGAAGACAAGAUCUACUUUUUCCUUCGAUCUACUUCGCCACCAGUAUGGGAAGACAAGAUCUGUUGCCUUUGAUCUACUUCACGCCAGUACAUGAAAACAAGAUCUGCUUUCUUCGAUCUGUUUCGCCACCAGUAUGGGAAGACAAGAUCUGUUAUCUUUGAUCUACUUCACGCCAGUACAUGAAGACAAGAUCUGCUUUCUUCGAUCUGUUUCGCCACCAGUAUGGGAAGACAAUAUCUGUUAUCUUUGAUCUACUUCACGCUAGUACAUGAAGACAAGAUCUGCUUUCUUUGAUCUGCUUCGCCACCAGUAUGGGAAGGCAAGACCUGUUACCUUUGAUCUACUUCAUGCCAGUACAUGAAGACAAGAUUUGUUUUCUUCGAUCCGCUUCGCCACCAGUAUGGGAAGGCAAGAUCUGUUAUCUCUGAUCUACUUCACGCCAGUACAUGAAGAAAAGAUCUACUUUCUUUGAUCUGCUUCGCCACUAGUAUGGGAAGGCAAGAUCUGGUAUCUCUGAUCUACUUCACGCCAGUACAUGAAGACAAGGUCUGUUCUCUUCGAUCUACUCCACCACCAGUAUGGAGAGACAAGAUCUGUUAUCUUUGAUCUACUUCACGCCUGUACAUGAAGACAAGAUCUGCUUUCUUUGAUCUGCUUCGCCACCAGUAUGGGAAGGCAAGAUCUGGUAUCUCUGAUCUACUUCACGCCAGUACAUGAAGACAAGAUCUGUUAUCUUUUAAUCUGUUCCACUGCUGCUCAGGGAGAUAAGGAUUUAUGAUUCCACCGACCUGUUCUCUGUGGACAAUGACCUGUAUGAUGAACCUAAUUAUGCCUAGUGAUUAGGAUAUCAUGAUUGGAAUGAAUCACAUGCUCCUAACUAGGCGUGUAUGAAUGACAUCUAAAUGCUAUGUCAUGAAAAUGAUUCAUUAAUACUAAAUAUUGAAGUCGUUAUUACUCAUUAAGGCUUUCUUUGUGAUAACAACGCUUCGAAAAAACUCAAAAAUUCUUGAUCCGGCUUUUUACUCCUAUAUAUCUUCGACCUUUUAACCCGGUGAAGUCUAAACAAUAGUCCUGCUUCAGGUUCUUGUAUUAUUUAGAAAUUUCCAGAGUAAUAUGAAAAACUUCCCUUGUGAAAGUUUUAUUAGUCCAUUAAUCGUUAUUCUAAUGCAACAUGCUUUCGAAAAGAUCAUAACGAUGGAUAAAACGAAAUUGACUUGAGAUCAUAACUUGCAAUAAAUUAUUAAUGAAAACAAGUCAAAAAAAGAAAUUGACUAAAACACUUAUAUUGAAAAAGAAUGAAGUGUUUUGGAAAUACAAAUUAUGGACAAGUGCCCCAGAUAUCUUUGCUUGAAUUGCUCUAUACAACUUUCUAAGGACCCUUCUGAAUUCAACACGUGUUUAGGAGAUUCAUAGUAUUUUGUUGAUGCCCCAAGAUGUCAUCUAUUCCUUUCUGCCGAUUUAGGUACAACAAGACUACCACGUGCUUCAAUCAGACUUUGAGCCGUCCUUGUCAGGUUUUCAACUCAAACCCCUUUGGUCUUAAGGUGCCCUUUGCGGGUUUUCACCCUAGCCUCUCCGUUUUUUUUUUUGGAAUCAAAGCGCCCUUUGCGGGUUUUCACCUUGGUUCCUUCCCUUCUUCAAGUAAAGUAUCUCUUGACCGAAUCUGAAUUUACUGGAUUAGGCAAGUUUCUUCCAUCCAUUUCAGCCAGGAUCAGGGCUCCUCCAGAAAAGGCCUUUUUUACAACAUAAGGACCCUCCCAAUUCGGCAUCCAUUUCCCCCUAAAAUCUUUUUGUAAAGGAAGAAUUUUUCUCAACACCAAGUCCCCCUCGUGAAAUUCUCUGGGUCGGAUCUUCUUGUUGUAGGCUCGCAUCAUUCUUUUCUGGUACAUCUGACCAUGCUGAAUAGCCUUUAGCCUUUUUCCCUCUAUCAAGUUCAACUGAUCGUAUCGAGAUUGAACCCAUUCUGCUUCAUCCAAUUGUAGCUCAGUCAAAACCCGGAGAGAAGGGAUUUCAACUUCGAUGGGCAAGACUGCCUCCAUGCCAUAAACUAAGGAGAAAGGCGUUGCCCCGGUGGAGGUCCUGAUUGACGUUCGAUAAGCAAUGAGGGCAAACGGUAAUUUCUCGUGCCAGUCCCUAUAAGUCUCAGUCAUCUUCCCCACAAUUUUUUUAUAUUUUUAUUAGCCGUUUCCACUGCACCAUUCAUUUUUGGGCGAUACGGCGAUGAAUUGUGAUGUCUGAUCUUGAAUUGACUGCAGACUUCUGCUAUUGAGCUGUUGUUCAGGUUCAGCGCAUUGUCAGAUAUGAUUCUUUCAGGCAUUCCAUAUCGACAUAUGAUCUCCCUUUUCAAGAACUUACUGACUGAUGACUUUGUAACGUUAGCAUACGAAGCAACUUCUACCCAUUUGGUGAAGUAGUCAAUAACCACAAAUAUGAAACGAUGCCCAUUUGAAGCCUUCGGCGAUAUUGGCCCGAUGACAUCCAUACCCCACAUGGAGAAAGGCCAUGGAGAAGUCAUGACAUGAAGAGGCGAAGGACGUGCAUGCAUUUUAUCACCAUAGAUUUGACAUUUAUGGCACUUUUUGGAGUAAUUGAUGCAAUCCCCUUCCAUGGUGGACCAGUACUACCCGAAUCUCAUAAUCUGUCUAGCCAUUGUGAACCCACUGGCAUGCGUUCCACAGAUGCCCUCAUGGACUUCCUCCAGGAUUUUCUUUGCUUCCACGGCGUCCAUACAUCUUAACAGUACCUGAUCUUUUCCCCUCUUGUAUAAGAUCUCCCCAUCUAAGAUGUAAUCAAUGGCUAGUCUUCUCAGAGUUCUCUUUUCAUUCUCCGUUGCCUGACCAGGAUACUCACGGUUUUUUACAUAUCGCAGUAUAUCUUGAUACCAGGGGAUAUCAUUGAUUUCUUCUUCUUCGAUAUUGUAACAAUGAGCCAGAGCUUCGUAGAUACUCAUUUGGAUAGGCUUCAUGUCUUCUUGACGGUUCACUUUAAUCAUGGAGGCUAACGUAGCUAGGGCAUCAGCCAUCUAGUUCUCAUCUCGUGGGAGAUAGCAAAAAGUGAUGUCCUCAAACUCUUUAAUCAAUUCAAGGACCAGCUUUCAAUAAUUGACUAAUUUGGGAUCCCUCGUUUCCCAUUCACCCUUGAGCUGAUAUAUCACCAAUGCUGAAUCUCCAUAGACCUCUAGCACUUUGAUUCUUCGCUCUAUAGCUGCACGAAUACCCAUGAUGCAUGCUUCGUAUUCUGCCAUGUUGUUUGUACAAUCAAAAUCCAAUUUGCAAGUGAAAGGAUAAUGAUCACCAUUCGGGGACACCAGGACUGCCCCAAUUCCAUUGCCCACAGCGUUCGAGGCUCCAUCAAAGUUUAGCUUCCAACUGUGACCUUCUUGGGGAUUUUCUUCAAUAGCGGCUACUUACAACAAGUCCUCAUUCUGAAAAUCAAAACUUAACGGUUCGUAAUCUUUUAAUGCCCUGCUAGCCAGAAAGUCAGCUAUUGCGCUCCCUUUUACAGCUUUUUGACUCACAUAGACGAUAUCGAAUUUAGACAGUAAAAUCUGCCACUGGGCCAUCCUCCCAUUCAAAGCAGUUGACUCCAUCAUAUACUUUAACGGGUCUAACUUUGAAAUUAGCCAAGUCGUAUGGUAUAACAUGUACUGCCUUAAUCUUCGGGUUGUCCAAAUCAGGGCACAACAGAACUUCUCAAUGGGCGAAUAUCUCAUUUCACAGUCAGUGAAUUUCUUGCUGAGAUAAUAUAUUGCCCUUUCUUUUCUCCCCGUUUCAUCAUGCUGGCCUAGCACACACCCCAUGGAAUUAUCAAACACUGUCAAAUACAAUAUCAGCAGCCUAUCUGGGCUAGGUGGUGACAGCACCGGAGUAUUGGACAAAUAUUGUUUCACCUUGUUAAAAGCUUCUUCGCAUUCUUCAUCCCAAGUACCAGGGUUAUGUUUCUUCAAAAGAUGAAAUAUAGGGUCACAUUUCUGAGUUAGUUGUGAAAUGAACCUAGCGAUGUAAUUCAGUCUUCCGAGGAAACCUCGAACUUCUUUCUGAGUGCGAGGUGGAGGUAAGUCUCGUAUUGCAUUGACUUUGUCUGGGUCAAUCUCGAUUCCCUUUUCACAGACUAUGAAGCCUAGCAAUUUUCUUGACCUGGCCCCAAAAGUGCACUUCGCUGGAUUAAGCUUGAGUUGGAACUUUCAAAAUCUUAAGAAUAACUUUCUCAAGACCUGCACAUGUUCCUCCUCCGUUCUAGAUUUCACGAUCAUAUCGUCAACGUAAACCUCGAUUUCCCUGUGCAUCAUAUCAUGGAACAAGGCUACCAUAGCUCUUUGGUAUGUUGCUCCUGCGUUCUUUAAUCCAAACGGUAUUACUUUAUAACAAAACGUCCCCCAUAACGUAAUGAACGUAGUCUUUCUCAUGUCCUCAGGAUGCAUCUUUAUCUGAUUAUACCCAGAAACACCAUCCAUGAAGGAAAACAUUGAAAAGCCUGCCGUAUUGUCUACCAAUGUAUUGAUGUGGGGUAAUGGGAAAUUGUCUUUUGGACUAGCCUCGUUCAAAUCCCUGUAAUCCACGCACAUUCGUACUUUCCCAUCUUUCUUUGGAACUGGAACGAUGUUGGCCACCCACUCAAAAUACUUGACUUCUUGCAGAAAUCCAGCAUCAAACUGCUUUUGGACCUCAUCUUUUAUCUUCAACACGAUGUCAGGUCUCAUCCUUCUAAGCUUUUGCUGCACUGACUUGCAAUCCUCUCUUAUAGGAAGGUGAUGGACUACAAUGUCGGUACUCAACCCCGGCAUAUCUUGGUACGGCCAUGCAAACACGUCCUUGAACUCUCGGAGUAACUCGAGGAGGUCUUGUCUUGUCUUUGCAGAGAUAUUCGAUCCGACCUUCACCUCCUUUCCUUCCUCUAAGCUCACAAUUUCUAUUGAUUCCCUGUAAGGUAGGAUUUACUUCUCGGCCCUUUCUACCAUCUUCAACAAGUCAGGAGACAAACCACAGUCUUCGUCAUCUUCAAAAUCAUGUGAUCCUUCUAAACACAUGUUUCGUUCAAAAGGAGACUCUAAAUUUAUAAGUGUGACAUUCGUAUCAUUGAUAUCGUAUGACCUGUUAUGAAAAAUAAUAUGGAUUCAGGAAUUUGUUUGGUGCAAUAUGGUCAUGAAUGAAAUGCAAGUGUAGUUUGAGAGAAAUUCAAAAUAACUGCUCUUAUGGAAAGAAAGAUUUGCUCAAAAAAUGACUGCAAAAAUGAACUUUAUUAAAAUAACGAUUUUUUGGACAUGAGCCUAUUUCACAAAGGAAUCCUUAUCACUUCUAGGCUAAAAGCAAUAAGGGUGUUCUGGACAUUACUAUGAGGAAAUCCUAAAAACUACAGGUAUUUCUUCUGCAGUCCAGUUGUUUAGCACACUUCUCAGUUCGUAAGGUUGAAUAUCCUACAAUGUUCCUCCUCCCGUCGCUUCUUCAUACACGGCAUGAAUACUUUCUAACUCCAUGUUAAUACUUUCGACUCCUAGUAUUCCUUGAUAGAUGAAUCCUCCCAAUACAAAAGUCUUAGAUAGGUGAGGAAAGGUCAUGGGCUCCCAUUUGACUUCAUCACCUGUCAAACGAGCCCUUCUUCUCUCUCGCUUCUUUUCUUGCUCUAUCCUCUUCUGCCUAGCAUCUGGCUUGUAUCCUAAGCCAAAAUGGUCCUGCUUGUCUUUCAAUACUGGAGCCUCAACUCGGCCCUGAAGAUAUUUCCCCAAUCCUUUUCUCGGCAAAGCUCCAUUUCUAAUUGUCAAUUGCAGACCCAUCUUUGUGGUCUUUGAUAUUCUCGGCAUCGGGAUCUUGUUUCCCUCAAGGAUGAAUGUUACAUUUACGAACUCCAAGGAACGGAAAGAGCACUCGAUUGCAUCAUCACUUGUUUCUAAAUAAGGUGCAUCGUUGGUCACAGAUGUAAUGAUAUCUUCUUCAACAUUUAUCGUCACUAGCCGACCUUCUGACACCAGCUUCAGUUUUUGAUGUAAUGAUGACGGUACCGCUCCUGCUGAAUGAAUUAAUGGCCUUCCUAAUAGGAAACUGUAAGAAGGCUUGAUGUCCAUAACCAAGAAGUCUACCUCAUAGCUAGUUGGGAAAAUUAACAAGGGUAUGCCAAUUCUUCUCAUGACUUUCCUCUCGGUGCCAUCAAAUGCUCUCACCAUAUUCUGGUACGACUUCAUAUGUGAACUAUCCACAGGUAGCCUGUUGAGCGUGGAUAGAGGCAAUACAUUCAGUACCGACCCGUUGUCUACCAGAUUUCCUGGUAAUAUGCGCCUUUUACACCUUGCAGUGAUGUGUAAAGCUCUAGUAAAUCCCAUACCCCCAGGUGGUAUUUCAUCAUCGCUAAAGGAGAUGAAGUUAUCAGCGCUUAUAUUGCCGACCAGUCGAUCCAACUUGUUAACAAAGAUAUCAUCAGCCACAUAAGUUUCGUUUAGCACUUUCAGUAGUGCAUUUUGAUGUUCCUCCGAGUUCAGGAGUAAAGCUAGCACAGAUAUGCGAGCUGGUUGUUGGUGCAGUUGUUCCACAACGCUGUACUCGCUAUGCUUUAGAAACUUCAAGAACUCUCUAGCUUCCUCCUCUUUGAUUGGUUCAUUGACCAAUAAUUCAGGUUCGACCGCAUUCUUCCUCUUUCCAACCGAAGCUUCUUCUCUUAUUGGCCCUUCUUGAGCUUCCAUCUGUUCGUAGUGCCUUCCUUCAUCCUGAUCCUCUUUACUGAUUAUAUCCUCUUUCCCCAGGAUUAUCACAUUACAAUCGUGAUUCCAAGGAACCUCUUGUUAUCCUUAUAUGCAAACACAGCCGGUUUUUGAAUGAUUACUUUUGGUGUUAUACGUGCCCCAACCUCACUGUUCUGAGGUCGCGAAAUGAUGACCACAGGAUGGUUAGCCUUCGGAACCCCCAAUGCCAACUCUAACGCGCAUACAUGAUUCUCCUCUUGAACUCCUUCACAGAAUUCCAUCUCCCUAUUAUCCAUCAUACCUUGUAUCAUGGCUCUGAAUUCCGUACACUCUUGGAUUUCAAGCCCCAAUUCAUGGUGGAACUCACAGUAGUUUCCCCUCUUUUCACAACUUCCUUCUGAGACGAUUAGUCCCCUUUUCACCAUCUCCUUCCAGACCCAUCUCAAAGGAGUUUUCACAUCCGCAAUGUCUACCUUGAUUCUUCUAUCUUCGCCCAUCAUAUUUACCCCACCAUCAGUGUGGUUUGGUAUUGGGUUUUCUACCUUGGUCGAGUCAUCAAAUUUAACGACAUCCAUACCAAUGAGCCUUUCUACCAACUUCUUAAAGGCCGUACAGUUUUCUAUGGAAUGCCCUGUUCUUCCCGCAUGAUAGUCGCACUGUGCAUUCACGCCGUACCAUUUGGGGUUGCAAGGGCUUCAGAUAGAAAGGGGAAACUACGUGUGCGUCAAAUAAAUUUCGAUAUAGUUCCCUGUAUGAUAUAGGAAUUGGCGUGAAUUGGGGCCUCUCAAUAUUUCGCCUUGUACCGACCUCUUGUCUCGACGAGCUUUGCUGAUUGGCAGCCACCUUUCCUGGCUGACUCACUGUUAAUGACUUCAAGUAACCUUUGCUGUACAUGCUCGCGUUGUUCACCUCAUUUUCCUUCAUCUUCAAAGCCGAUCUUCUGUUACUCUCUCCCGCAUCGAUCUUCCCAGUCCUAAUGUCAUUCUCAAUCAUCUCGCCAUUCAUGACUAUGUCAGGAAAGCUUUUUGUGGCACUUUCUAACAUAUGUGUAAUAAACGGUGCCUUCAGGGUGUUAAUGAACAACAUGGUCAUUUCCUUUUCCAGGAGCGGUGGCUGAACUUGGACUGCAACCUCCCUCCAUCUCUGUGCAUACUACCUGAAGCUUUCACUCGGCUUCUUCUCCAUGUUUUGAAGGGUGAUUCUAUCAGGAGCCAUGUCUGUCACAUGACGAUAUUGUUUCAUGAACGAUUGUGCCAAGUCCCUCCAUAAACCAAUCGUGGCACGACUCAACUGAUUGUAACAUUUGGAUGCUGCCCCUACAAGGCUGUCUUGGAAACAAUGUAUCAAGAGUUGGUCGUUGCUAACAUAUCCCGCCAUUCAUCUGUAGAACAUAGUGAUGUGAGCUUCUGGGCAACUUGUCCCAUUGUACUUUUCGAACUCCGGCAUCUUAAACUUAUGAGGGAGCACCAAGUCUGAAACUAAGCUCAGCUCUUUGGCAUCAUUGCCUCGAUAACUUUCAGCAACCUCCAUUGCCUUGAACUUCUCCUUGAGCCACUUGCAUCUUUCCUUUAACUGUUUCGGUAACUCCUCCUUCACUCUUUCCUUCUCAACUACUUCAUCAAAGUCUGGAAUGACAGAGUGAAUAAGAUUAUUUUCGAGGUUAGAUCCCGGUCCAGCUUGAAAGCUCGAAACACCAGCCCGAAACUGCUGCGACAUAAUGGUGACAGUAGAUUUGUGCGGGUAUUCAGCUUGAGUUCGCACAUAUGGAGGGGUGAAACCUGGAGGAUAGAGAGGUUCAUCACCAUUUCCCUCAUCGACAUUUUCCAUGGGGCCCUUUCCUUUAUCACUUCCCCUAGUUAUCAAUUGGGUUAACUUUGCCACUAUAUCUUCUUGGGAUUCUUGCAUCUUCUCAGACAUCUCUUGUUUCAUCUUAUCUAACUGCUCCUGCACUUGUAGCUGAAGUCGGUCUUGCAUCUCCUUCUGACACUGUUCGAGUUUUUUCAAUCUCUGAUCCAUAUCUUUUGUUUUUGCUCGAGUGCCGUAUCGAUGUUGGCUUGGUUGGUUGGUUUCCAGGUUAACUGAGCAGUGAUUUUGACUUAUUAGGAUUAAAUAAAAAUCUUUAAUACAUAUAAUGCGGUGCUAAUGCAUAUGAUACGAUGCAUGAGAUGAAUGCAAAAAAAGGCGUUAAUUAUAAUUCAAUUCCAUUCAGAAAACUUUACUAGAGAAUUUUUUUUACAUAAAAUGGCUAUAAAUAAGGCUUUGCCCUAACACUUAGAACUUUAAUCUCCCUAAGUAAUGGUGCCAACUUCUGCCCCUGAUCUGAUUCUGAUUCGUACUUCACACUUAGUAUAUCAGCUUGUAUUGCUAAAGUCUGCAGGUGCUCAACUACCCCUUGAAUCUGUACCACAGCUUCUUCCAUAAUGUGAUCCCUUCUUGCAACUUGAUCCUGGAGAUAGUGAAGUUGUUCACUUUGAUGAUCUUCAUUUGCUUCCAGAUGUUCAAUCCUGGCUUCACAGUUCUGUAAUGCCAUCUCUAAUCCUUCUACUGUUCUCUUCAUCUGCUCGAUCCUGCUCAAGCUUGCUUGCAACUCCAUCACAACAUUGCGAUUUCGAUAUUGAUGAAUAGUUUCCUCUAGUUCGGCCAUCCUAGCUUUUAAUUCAUCAUUUUUAUUCUGGCUUUCUGACAAACUCCUCUCAAAGGACUUAUUUUGCUUUUGAGCCUCCUGAAAUCUCUUUUUCCACCUAUCAGCCUUGACCUUUUCUUCUUGAACUUCUUGACGCCACUGCUCUGAGGUUUUUCCCAACCCAGCAGUUCUCACUAACAUACGUAGUCUCUUAUAAUCCGUCUUCAAGCUAUUCAAAUCUUUAUCGGCUUUGCGUUUUUCUUUUCUCAAGCCUUCGGUUUCCAGCUUCUGAACAUCCAUGUCCAACUUUAAAUUCAUCUUCUCCUCUUCUAUUUGCUCUAUCUUCCUUUCAAGCUCUGAGUUUCUUCUUUCAAAAUCCUGCUUUAUAAUUUCUAGCUCAGAAGGGACCAUAUGUACAUGCUUUUCUACUAAUUGAUUGUCUCCUUGACCUGGUGCAGGUAUAUUAUCAUUGACCCUCCUACCUAGCCACUUGAUAUAUUCAGAAGUCGUCGAUGGACCUACUACCAAUCUCUUCAUUCGUCGAGUCUGCCUCCAAGCAUUUGUCAUUUCUCGAAUCUUCUUCUUGUAACCAUCAUACUUAUACGAGAAUUCACUUUGAGCUAAUCCUUGGGUUGUAGGUACGAACUGCCUCAAUCUAUACUGUCUCAAUACUAGUAAUGGUGCAUAGCUGAUAGCUCCCCAAAUCCCAAGUAAAGGGACCCAAUCGAAAUCUCCACACCUAUACAAGAUCUCAUCUGGCAGCAUCCAAGGAGCUCUCUACUCGAUGUUCUCCUCUUGAAGAUUCUGAAGAAUUACAAUCCAUCUUUCUUCUAAAACACCAUCUUGCCUCGAUAUCGCCAUUAUUUCUUUCAAAGGCGAAUAAGUUUCAGAAAAAACUCGAUAGGAAAAUUUAUCAGCCUUCCAGAAGUGACUGUGAAACCAUGCCAAGAGAAGCUGCGCACAUCCAACGAAUCUUCAUUCACCUACUCUUCGGUAUUCGUUCAAUGACCUAAAAGUUUUUGCUAAAAUUACUGGAACCGGUGUGACUCCUUUACCAAGUCGAUCGAAAAGAUCAGUGACUGCUUCAUCAAUAUGUCCCAAGGCUUUGGGAAAGAUAACUAAAUCGUAAAUACCCAAGGCAAAGACAUCAACCCUCUUCCUCGUAUCCAGAUGUACUAGAAUUAAAUCCUUCAAGCUCUUCCAAGGAAUGCAUUUACUAUCUCCCUUUUGUUUGAUUCGUGCUGCGACCCAUUACUCACUCAUCCCCGUAAUAUUCAUCAAUUUCUUCAAAAAGGUUGGAACAUUAGCAGCUCUCGAGUAGGCUUUAUCUACUUGGAUCUUCGAACAACGAAGCAAGGCCGUAUAUUCCUCCACCGUAGGCACUAAGUCAACUUUUCCAAAGGUAAAGCAACUAUAAGCAGGAUUCCAAAAUUGGGCUAAGGCACGAAAUAAGUGCUUAUCCACCUUUAAGUCGAGCAAGUAAGGUAUGUCUCCAUAGCUAGAGUAGAAGAGCUGUUUAACCUCAUCAGUCCACCUUUCCCAAAUUUCCUUUAGUUCAUGUAGGCUAUUCUGGGUCACGCUAACACGAGUGAAGUCCCACAACUCUGACACAUAUCCUUCGGCCAAACUAUCACCUUUCUCUUGCUGUGUUGUCUCUGACCAAGUUUGGACAGCCGCAUUAUCUUCCACUUUAUCAAGAAACCCUUUUUCCAUGAUAAGCUUUCUAUCUAGCAACCGAAUAUGAACUAACGCCCUUUUAGGAUGAAAUGCUAUGCAAUCAUGAUGUCAUGCAAUCAAAACGAAAGAAACCCAAGUCAGUAUCACAUAUAGAGAUAUAAUCCAAUACAAACAUGAAAUAGCAAGAAACACUUAAUCUAGAAUCCACUAGGGUUUUGGGAUAGUUCUACCUAGGUCAAGUUCCUAAAGCUCACUAUAUGAGGUUUAGUUUCUAGAGUAAGGGUACCCGAACCAGCAGAUUCCUCAAUCCUCACCCAUUAUAGGCUCAUAUGGAUCGAGUUCAGUUCAGGGGGAUACAUUUCCCUAUGGCUGCACGGAGAUGAAAAUCUCACGAAGACAUAGGUACGGAUGUAUCUCGAAAGCGGUCCACUACCCUGCACGGAGGUGAAAACCUCACGAAGGACUAGUUUCUCGCUCCCACUUAAAGGGUCAAAUGCAAAAUGCAAAUGCAAAGUUGCCAACAUAUCAUGAUGAAAAAUCAAUGAGUGCGUAGGGAACUCAUGAAUUUUUUAAAAAUUUUGAUUUUCGACACAAAGACAAAUAUAAUUAGUUUAUGGCUCGACUCUCUCAAGCGUCCCCAGCGGAGUCGCCAAGCUGUCGAAACCGUUUUUUGAAAAACAAAAAUUUAGUUGUCGACUUUAAAAAUAAAAUUAGAGUUGUCGCUGAUCCUUUAUUAAGGUGUGAUCGGCUCACCUUAAAAAUUAUUUUGGUCUACGAAUUUUGAGAAAAUGAGUUCGGGAGUCAAUUACGUACGAGGAAGGGUUAGCACCCUCGUAACGCCCAAAAUCGGUACCAAAUUGACUAUUUGAUGUCUUGGUGUCGAAAGUUAAAAAAGAUUUUAAAAUAAGCUUGAAUGAUGAAAUUUGAAAAAGGAUAAUAAAUUGUUCAAGUCAUGUAAAGAAACCGAGUCCCAAUACAUUAGGGUACAAUUCCUCAUAAUCCCCGAACUUUGAAUAUCACUUUUAUUUUAUGCAAAAAUCUUCAUUUCGAGAAAGUAACAGGCCACACCCAAUACGUUAGGGCACAACAAGUUAAGUUCCCAAAAAUGAUUUUUAUGCUCAUGCAUUUUGAAUAAAGAAUAUUCUCGGUCAUUUAAGAUUGACAAAGAAAAUCAGAACCCAAUACGUUAGGGCUCAAUUUUCCACGAAAAUCCCAAACUUCAAAUAAUGAUUUUAUUCAAAAAAACCUUUAAAUCAAGAAAAUAACUUUGAUGAAUGGUUAAAACCAAAAUGUAUUUUUAAAAGGGUACGUUAAAAAAGUUAAUGUACAAUAUGGUACAGAUACUUUAAUUCACAACAUAUACGAAUAAAUAUUUGCAAAUAUAUAUAUACAAAUAUAACAUUACAAUAAAGUUGCAAACAUAUGUAUACAUAUAUCAAAAACACUUAUACAAGUAUACAUGCAAAUAGAAGAAAUGAAAUAUAUCCAAUAAAACAAACAAGAAACAUGUAUAAAAAUAAAAUAAAAGUAUAAAACAAAAUGCAUAUGUAUAUAUUUUCAAAAUAAAGGAAAAAUAUAUAAAAAAUAAGAAAAUAAAAUAAGGAUAUAAGGAAAAACGUAUGUAUAAAUAUAUGCAUGUAUAUAUUAUAUAAAACAAAUUCGCAUGUUUAUGGUAUUUUACGAAAAACAUUUUUUGAAAAUUAAAUUCACAAAAUAUAUGUUUUGUAAAAAAUAUGAAAGAAAAAAAGAAAAUUAUAUAUAUAAAAUGCGCAUGUAUAGAAAACCAAUAUAUGUAUAGAUAUAUAUAUAUAUUAUAUAAACGUGUGUAAAUGUAUAAGAAUAAUAGAAAAACUAAAAAAAAUUACUAAUGAAGGAUUAAAUCAAAAAGAAUCUUAAGGGCCGAAUUUAAAAUAAAAUUUUAAAAAAGGGGUCACUUGAAUGCGCGCGUAACAGUGGAGGACCAAAAAGGAAAUAUGCCCAUUGAUCCCACGGCACCGUUUCGACGCAAUCUGCAGUCCUGGUUGAUGGACCAAAUUGAAACAGACGCGAAAUUUUGUGGCAAAAUUGGAAACGUGCGAAAUACUGCAUUUAAAAUCAAAAUAAAAGAGGAAGGACCGGAUGCGCAAAUAUCCCAUAUGACGUCAGAACGCGCGGAUCCUCCCCUCCGGGUCGGGUCACCGCGCGGGUCUGGCCAUUCAAAACGGCGUCGUUUUGAUCUGUUAUUUAAAACAGAUUUUUCUUUCUAAAACCAUUUUAACAAAAUGAAAAUAAAUAAAUAAAUAAAUCCCCCCUUUUGCUCUACUAGGGUUUCACCCCUAGCGUCCUCGCGCCGCCGCUCGCCUGGCCAGCGCUUCGAUCGCGACGGAGGUGGCCACCGAUCCGGCAUUCUCAACGAAUGGGGUAAGAUCCUUUCCCUUGCUUUUAUUUCUAAAAAAACGCAAAAAGAAAAGAGAAAUAUAAAAACAACAGAAUGGAACCCGAUUCACCUUUUUAAAAACUUUGUAUUUUCAAUAUUUUUCUUUUGUAUUUCUCUGUAUCCACUCUCUGUUAUCCCCCUUUUACAAAAUAACAGUGGCUUUAUAUAGCCCAAAAACUAUUUGUUGCUUUUUAUUUUACACUAUAUUUUCGCGGAUGGACUCUCUGAGUCCGUGUUUGCAGGCGAGAGUGGAUCAAAUGGCACGCGUGGAGAGGUCAGCCCCGAGACGUGCGGCACUUGGAGAGGCUGCUGAAGGCGGGGAGGGUGCGGCGCUCGCUUGCUGCUACUGUUUUAGGUGUAUUGGGCUAGGGUUUAGGUUGGUUAGUGUAUUGGGUCUUGUUCAUUAGCUUGGGCCUGAGUGUUAUAACGUGAAAUGGGUUUUAGAUUGAGCCUGGGCCGAUUGGGCCCUAUUACAACAGUAAUAGUUUCCACUUUCCAGUAAUAGUUUCUAGUGUUCCUUUACUUUGCUACCAUAUUUCCAUAUUUGGGUUACCUGGGUUGAAUCUUCAUGUAGCUUGGGCAGUUUCUUUUAUCAAUACUGACAUACCAUUUUAGAGCCCAUAUUCCACUAUAUUGGCUUUAAUUGUUGUAAUAAUUUUAUCCAUAGAAUUGCAAUUAUAGAUAAUAUGCUAUACUAUUUUCUCCUUAAUUACGGAAAAAAUAAAUAUCAAAUUGAUUUUCCUUUUUGUACAGGCUACAGUUUGAGGUUAUUUACUUAAGCAAUUUUAUCCCACAUUAGUCAAUGUUUGAGUUUGUUCUUCAAAUAAGUUAUCUUAUUUUAUUUUUUGUUCAUUAUAUACAAAGAAAAUAUAAUUUGAUAUUUAAUAUAAAUUUAAUAACAAUUAAUUUUAAGUAAUGGGCUGGGCCGAGUCGGGCCUGGGCCUUGUACUUUUUCCCCGGGCCGAGCCUAGACAAAACUUCAGGCCCAUAUUUCGGGCCAGGCCGGGCCCGGAUCUAGGACACGGGCAAAAUUUUUUCUGGGCCCGACCCGAACCCGGCCCGGCCCAUGAGCACCUCUAAUCCAACAUCAUAUGAUAAUUUCUUAAUUUUAUAUGAUCCAAUAUCCUAAAAUUAGGUAUAAUGAUUUAUUUUUUCGUUCUUUAUUUAAUUUUUGUUAUUUUAAAUUUGUAUUAUUUAUCAAAUCACCUCAACGAAUAAAAAUGUAAUGUCAAUUAAUUUUACUGAUGUGACAUACAUGUGAAUUGUCACUUGAAUGCCACAUAAGUACUUAAUUAAUUUUUAAAAUGAUUUUAAAAAAUUUUAAAAAUAAAAUUAUAUAAAUGUUUUUCUAUGUUUUGGAAAUUUUAAGAAAUAAUUAAUUGCUAGGUGAAUGUCAUAUUAACAAAGUUAAAAGGUGUUAAUUUUUUCAUUCAUUUUAGGGUGAUUUGACAAAUAAUAAAAAUUCAAGGGUUAAAAGAUAAGGAAAAUUAAAUUAAAGGCUAAUUUUUUUUAUAAAAUUGGAGGGUUAAAUAAAUCAUUAUGCCCAUGAUAUAAUGACGAUGACUUGAAAUUAAAUAAUGUCUAUGAAACCGGUGUAGUUUUCUUGGUUUUGUAUAUAUUCUUUGGAAAUUAUUCGGCUUAUGCUCUUUUUGGAUAUGUAGUAAAGUUAAUUUUUGGUGAAACUAAAAGUAAUAAUUAUGAUGAGAUUAGUUAAUAUAGCGGUAAGAUUAAAAUUAAUAAUGUGAUAUAUGUUUGGAUUCAAACAAAAUAAUAACCAUGAUGUAAAAAUGGAAAAUGAUUAUUGAUGUCAUUAAGUUACAACUUAUGUGCCAACAACCUCUUGACUUAGUGGCAAGAAUACUAUGUUAUAGGCAUGAGAGUUUAGGUACAAUCCCAAGUAAUCUUAUACUCCACUUCCAAUUUUAUUAAAAAAAACUUAUGUAUAUGUAAAAUAAAUAAUUAAGAAAAAAAAUUAAAAUAAAAUAUGUUAAAUUAUUUUUUUGAAAGGUAAAUUCAUUAAUUUAUUCAAUGAAUGGAACCAUACAAUUCAGAGAAAAAAGAUAACAAACACUCAUCGCAGAUGGUGAAGGACAAGCGCCAUCAACACAACAAAGGCUUUAGCCUUAGCAUCAAUAGAACAUUAUGACACAUUGACAAUUGGCUUAAUCACAACUCAAGCACGACAUAUCUGGAGUGAUUGCAAGGACUUAAUAUGAUAAUGAAAUCAACCUCGGAUGGUCCAAAGUGGCGAGCAAAAAUCGACAAAAGAAUCGAGUAUUCACCAAACUAGAGAGGACGACAACAAAAUUUGUAACACCCCUAACCUGGCCCAAACGUUAUGGCCGAAUCUGGGUGUGUUACGAAGAAGGGUUUUAAAACUAUAUCUCUUAAGCUAAAUCGUAUCGUGUUAUUAGUUUACCAAUUGCAGUUUUAAUAACCGGAAAAACUUGGAUUUAAGAUCUUAUUUGAAACCAUUUUAAGUUAUCAAGAAUUUGCAACAGAAGUUUGAAAAAUGUUAAUUCGAAACCAAGCUCGUGUUUCCAAAAACCAUUUGUUAAAACCAUAUGUUUGCGUAAAGUGUUUUUGUUAACAUUGUGGAAAAGAAAGAAAAAUAAAAUCCAAAUCCAAAAGUUAAAACCAUACAGUUCAGAAAGUCCCAAAAAUUACAACUCUCACGAAAACCAGAUUUUGAAACAAAACUGAUAACAUUAAAUAAAAAUAGUUCUCAACCGAGUGGUCACCGUUGAGUCUCCGUCGCAUCGACCCACCUAAGUCUGUGGAUUACCUAAACAGAACAGACAAACAAAUGUGAGUUUUCAUAAACUCAGUGUGUAACCUAACAGAAAUAGUCAUGCAACACACACAGAAUUUCAUAUACAGUCAGAUACAGAUUCAGACCUAAGUCCAUAACAAAUACAGAUUCCCGAAUCAGAUAAUCAAAACAGAUAUAUAUAAUCCUAUCCCCUCCUCUAUACACCAUCUCUGUCUAUCCCAUCACACCAUGUGGGGUUAAAAACACCUACUCAUCCCUACACACCAUAUAGUGUCGAUGCGACACAUAACAGAUAAUAUGCAGUUAAGCUACCAGAAUGUAGGCGAAAGGUCGCCGUAUAGAUUACUUCCUACACAUAUGCAAAUCCCACCCCAAACAUAGAUACAUAAUACCAAAUUAACGGAUUUAACAUGCUUAACAUGCUCGUAUAAAAAUAACAUAUAUAUAUACUCAAACAGAACAGUCAGACAUACAUAUUAGAGUCCCACUCAGAUCAGACUAUCAGAAUACCAUAUCACAUGAAUUAGGGUUGGUUGGCCCUUACCAUCCCUAUGGUAGGCCCACAGUCGAUCGAAACGACCCGUGCGACCCUAGGGAAAAUUUCAGAAUCCUGGGCCACACGCCCAAUCUAGUCUAGCCCGUGUGGCUUACACAACCACACUUACACCAUCACACGGUCGUGUCCCGCACACGGCCACACCUACGACAUUCACAUGAUCGUGUUUAGGGUACACACCUAGUACGAUUUUGUUGUGAAAACACUCCCGAGACAACUAGAACCUAAAAUUGACAUAACAAGCUCUCAAAAUCAGUCUAAAUCCUCAAUUAAACUGAACUAACAAAUUUGACAAUGGUGAAAUUCAAGUUUUCAACACUUACCCGAUUCCUCGAACGAUUCCAACUAUAAUUCCGUAAGAGAAGAACCACGUUCAUCACGAUUCACUGCAGUCAAACCCAUACAAUCAAACUAACAAAAAGCAAAACCGACUUAAAUAAACUUUAACCAAAGCCCUCAAUCUAAGAAGAAACUCACCACUUUCCCUUACCUAAACGUAAAAAGCAAUCAGAGAUUCGUAUUAUCGCAAUUUUGGAAGGGAGAUUUUGACAAAAAUAAGGGAAAAGAAAAAAGAUUUUUGGUGGGGAAAGAAAAGUAUAACAUCAGAAACUAGAAGAGGGAGAAAUUUUUGGGAAAAUAGAAUAAAAGAAAAUAGAAAGAUUAAGUCAAAUCCCACUACAUCCACAUCCCUUAACCACUCAACUAACUCAAAAUCCCACUACCACCAAACCACUAUCAACCGCCACCGCCAAAAAUUAUCACCCACGCUCGCGCGUGAAUUCAAACACAGGACCUCCAACAAACUAAGUCCUUACCACUCGAACCAGCAGGCUCAUUCUAAUAUGAGUUUGCAAACAAUAUAAUAUAAGCCCACCCAACAAGGAUAAUGCUUGGAUCAAAAAUAACAAAAUUUGCCAAAAGGGGGACUUGAACCCAAGACCUCAUACACACACCUAUAACACUCAACCACUGAAGCAGAUACAUAUUUGUGUCAGAUUUCACAAAAAUAGAAAUAAAUUAUUCAGGGUGUUACAACUCUACUCCCUAAAAGAAAUUUCAACCUCAAAAUUUACCUAAUCCGAACAGAUAAAGAUACUACAAACUUAUCAAGUCCUUAUGUUCCCACAUGGCUUCCUCAGUGCCAUGAUUCCGCCACAGAACAUUUACCAAUGGAAUAGAAUUCCUCCUCAUAACCUUAAUAUCUCGUUCCAAAAUCUGAACUAUCUCCUCCUCAAACGUCAAAUUCGGUCUAACAUCGAUCUCCUUAAUAAAGACAAUGUGAGAUGGAUCAGACUGAUACUGCCUCAACAUUGAGACGUAAAACACAUCAUGGAUACAGUCCAACUUUGGAUGUAGCUCUAACUAAUAAGCGACUGGUCUCACACGCUUCAGAAUCCCAUACAACCCAAUAAAUCUAGGGCUCAACUUACCCUUACGAUCGAACCGUAGAAUCUUCUUCCAUAGAGAUGCCUUAAGAAAUACAAAGUCACCCAUAGAGUAUUCGAUAUCCCUCCUUUUUAGAUCCGCAUAGGACUUUUGUCUAUCAGAAGGCACCUUCAAACGAUCCCAAAUCAGUCUAACCUUAUCUUCAAUCUUGGAAACCAACUCAGGACCCAAAAUCCAUCAUUCACUCGACUCAGUCCAACAUAGUGUAGUAUGACACUUACGGCUAUAUAAAGCCUCGUAAGGUGUCAUCUGAAUGCUAAACUGGAAACUAUUGUUGUAGGUGAACUUAGCUAACAACAGAAAAUCCUCUCAGUUACCUCAUAAAUCAAUCACAAAGCUCCGAAGCAUAUCCUCCAGUAUCUAAAUCACCUUUUCAGACAACCAUCAGUCUGAGGAUGGAACACAGUACUGAAAUCCAAUCUCGAACCCAUAGCUUCAUGUAAUUUCUUCAAGAACUGAAAAGUGAAGCGAUGAUCCCUAUCAGAUAUUAUCAAAAUCAAAACCCCAUGUAGCCUCUCAACCUCAGAAAUAUAAAGCUUCGCUAACUUUUGCGAACUUUGUCAAUUGAUCCACGAUAACCCAAACAGAAUCCUUCUUAUUGGGUGUCAAGGGCAACCUACUAACAAAGUCUAUUGUCACUUGCUCCUAUUUCCAUAAUGGAAUCUUAACAGGUUGAAGCAAACCCGAAGGCAAUUGGUGCUCAACCUUAACUUGCUGGCACAUUAAAUAAUAAGCAACAAAAUCUGUUACCUCACAUUUCAAUCCCGGCCACCAGUACAGCUUACGAAGAUCCUGAUGUAUUUUAUUAUCACCGGGAUAUCUAGCAUAAUGGCUACUAUGCGCUUCCCUCAGAAUCGACUGUCUCAGAUCAGAAUCGUUCGGUAUACAAACCCGUCCUCGAAAACAUAGAACUUUAUAUUAUUCAGUCCAAAAUCAAAAGUACUGUCACUCUCAACCUAACAAAACCGCUCAUCCCCUAAAUUCUUUUUCUGGAUCUUCCCAAUCCAAGUUGGCUUAACUUGCAACUCGGCUAACAGACCCCCAUCAUUGAACAAACUAAGACAAGCGAACAUCGCUCUCAAACCAGUCAUCGCUCUCUGACUGAGAGUAUCAGCCACCACAUUGGCCUUAUCGGGAUGAUACUCUAUCUUGCAGUCAUAAUCUUUGAGUAGCUCAAUCCAUCGACGCUAUUUAAGAUUCAAUUCUUUUUUAGUAAGGAAGUACAUGAGACUCUUGUGAUCGGUGUAGAUAAUACAUCUCUCACCAUACAAAUAGUGCCUCUAGAUCUUUAACAUAAAUAUCACCGUAGCUAACUCGAGAUCAUGCAUCGGAUAAUUUCUCUCAUGUGACUUAAGCUGCCGGGACGCGUAAGCCACCACCUUAGACUAACAUGUGACGCAUCACUAUACAUUACAAACUCCUUACCAAAUUCAAGUUGUAUUAGAACAGGAGAGAACAGACUUGAGCUUCUCGAAGCUCGACUGUUGUGCAUUAGUCCAGAUGAAAGGAACAUUCUUGCAUAGAAGUUUAGUCAAAGGAGCUGUAAUUAGUGAGAACCCCUAAAAAACCUCCGAUAAUAACCCGCAAGACCCAAAAAAACUGUGGAUCUCAGAGAUAUUCUUAGGCUGUUUUCACUUAAGCAUAGCCUCAAUCAUUCUAGGAUCAACUCAGAUACCCUCAGCAGAAAUCAUGUGCCCUAAAAAAGUUACUUCUCGCAACCAGAACUCACAUUAACUCAACUUAGCGUAGAGCUAUUUCUUUCAGAGUAUCUGUAGCAUUACUCUAAGAUGCUCAUCAUGCUCAUCCUCAGUCUUAGAGUACACCAGAAUAUCAUCAAUGAAGACUACGAUAAACUAAUCCAAAUACAAUUAAAAACUCAGUUCAUCAGAUCCAUAAAUGCAAUCGGAGCAUUCAUCAAACCAAAGGGCAUAACUAAGAACUCGUAAUGCCCAUAACGAGUCCUAAAUGUCAUGUUAUGACUAUCAGCUUUCUUAACCCUAAACUAAUGAUACCCAGAAUAGAGAUCUAUUUUUGAGAAUACCACAGCCCUACAAAACCAAUCAAACAGGUCAUCGAUCCUCGGAAGUGGGUACUUAUUCUUCAUAGUCGGUUUAUUCAACUGCCGGUAGUCGAUGCACAUCCUCAUGGUACCAUCCUUUUUCUUCACAAACAGAACCGGUGCCCCCAUAGAGACAAACUAGGAUGGAUGAAACCACGAUCCAGAAGCUCUUGAAGUUGAGCCUUAAGCUUUGUUAGCUCUUUUGGUGCCAUACGGUAUGGAGCGAUAGACAUCGGAGAUAUACCCGGUAGAAGCUCAAUGUCAAACUUAACUUCUCGAUUUAGAGGUAAACCUGGUAACUCUUCAGGAAAAGUAUCUAAAAAUCCCCUCACUGUUUUAAUAUCCCCAAUAGAAGAGUCCCCAAAAACUGAAACACUGACAUAGGCUAAAUACGUCUCACACUUUUUCUGAACCAAUUUCUCAACCGCUAGAGCAGAGAUCAUAUUAGAUAGGUAAUCUCGACCCUCACUAAUUACAUCCGUUUCCUUAUCAUCCUCGGUCCUCAGAAUGACCCUUUUAGUCAUGCAGUCCAAACUAAAUCGGUGCUCAACUAACCAAUCUAUCCCCAAAAUUAAGUUAAACUCCCCAAACAGUAGCUCUAUCAGAUUUGCCGGAAACACAACUCCUUAUACUUCCAAUGAAACAUUCCUAUAAAGUCUAUUUACCCUAACAGACUGUCUCAAUAGAGUCAGUACAGUAAUCUCUCCAGAAGUACACUCAACAAAAAUCCUUAAGUUCUCGGAAACAGAACUAGCUACAAAGGACUGUGUAGAACCUAUGUCUAUCAAAACAAUAUAUGAAGCAUCAAAAAUUAAAAACGUACGCGUGAUCAUAUCAAGGGCAACGUUGUCCUCUUGGCAUCGAGCAACAUAAACUAGUGCAGGCUGCCUCACCUCAGUCUGAUUAGUAAUUUUUCCUAGUGCUCUCUGACCUUAGCCCAUACCAUUACCACUCCUAGCCGGUCUACGGUCCUUAGGUGGUUGUUUUACUGCCCUCUGAGGCUAAACAAAGUCCAGUCCUAAAGCUUGCAUCUAAUUAGCAUGAUAUGGACACUCUUUAAUUUGGUGCUCCAAAGACCUACACCGCAGACAAGCUCUUAAUCUCCUCUAACACUCACCCGAAUGGUGUCUACCACAGUCACCACAAGGCUGAAUCUUAGUAGGAGCAAUUGGAACUCCCACUCUAACAGGCCCAUCAGGUCUGGCCCAUUUCUUAGGCCUCUAAACAGAACUAGAGGGCUCUGAAUCCCUCUUAUUCAUGCCUCUCUCUUGGUCUUUAUUCUGGCACUCCACGCGCUUAACCUUCUCAACGAUCUUUGCCUUAUCUACCAAAAUAACAAACUCACACUCUCUCUGCAGAGUAAUCAGAGCGCUUAAAUUAUCCCUCAAAUCGUCUUCAAAAUGAACACAUUUCUCACACUCGAAUGCUACUAUGCCUCGAACGUAGCGGCUCAAUCUUAGAAACUCAACCUAACACUCAGUCACAAACUUAUCACCUUAAGUAAAAUUCAUGAAUUCACGCCUACGAGCGUCCACAUAACUCGUACCCAUAUAUUUUCCCUAAAAAAAAGUCUUAAAGUAGUCCUAGUUCAAACAAUCCAGUUGAGUACCCUCCUCAACCGACAACUAUCACUGAUAUACCUCAUCGCGAAGCAAAAAAAUUGCACCCUUCAAUUUCUGCUUAAGAGUGCAGUCAACGUUGUUCAUAAUCCUCUUGGUAUCCUCCAACCAAUACUCAGCCACAAUAGGGAUAAAUUUAGUGACGCCCCUAAACAAUUUAGCUCUAUUGGACCGGAGUCGUUCAAUUAUUGACCCAUGGCUUCCAAAUCCAAAAUGGGGUCCAAAAACCCUCUUCAACACUCUCAACAUGGCUUGCGACAGUGCGUCGUCCCUAGCUGAGCUGCUUUGAGACCCAGCCUCAGUAGCAGGUGAAAUCGGUGUCUCACUCAUAUCCAAAUUUGGCAUAUUGCCUAAAAAGAAAGACUCAGCUCGAGCCCCCUACGGUGCCCACCGCGCCCAUGAAUACCACGAUUGCGAGUUCCACGAGUGCUCAUCGUAUUUUCAGUUUUAUCUACAUUAUAAAAUUUUAUUCAUUUGUUCUAGUGUUUAUUAGCAGAUAUUUUAUGCUCAAGUUAUCAAAGGUACUUACAGGAUCGACGCCGAAGACUCAGUGUACGAUAUACUUACUCAAAUUGAUCCAAAUUAUUUGAAAACUAGUUUUUUUUCAAAGCAUAAUUUUGGAACCCAAAAUUUACAGCUUGAGUUUUGUAACCUGGCUCUGAUAUCACUAAAUGUAACACACCUAACUCAGCUUAGAUGUUAUGGCUGAAUCUAGGCAUGUUACAAAGAAAGGUUUUAAAAUUAUAUUUCUUAAGCUAAAUCGUAUCGUUUUAUUAGUUUACCAAUCAGAGUCUUAAUAUUAAAAAAAAUUGGGUUUAAAAAUAUAAUUUCAAACCAUUUUAAGUUAUCAAGAAUUUUGCAACGAAAGUUUGAAAAACAUUGAAUUCGAAACCAAGCUCGUGUUUUCAAAAACCAUUUAUUUACGUAAAGUGUUUUUGUCAACGUUGCGAAAAAGAAAGCAAAACAAAAUCCAAAUCCAAAAGUUAAAACCAUACAGUCCAGAGAGUCCCAAAUAUUACAACUCUCAAAGAAAUCAGAUUUUUAAAAAAAAUCGAUAACACUAAAUAAAAACAGUUCUUUGUCGAGAGGUCACCGUUGAGUCUCCGUCGCACCUACCCGCUUAAGCCUAUGGAUUACCUGAACAGAACAGACAAAAAUAGAUGUGAGUUUUCAUAAACUCAAUGUGUAACCUAACAGAAAUAGUCAUGCAACAUACAUAGAAUUUGAUAUACAGUCAGAUAUAGAUUCGGACUUAAGUACAUAACAGAUAUAGAUUCCCGAAUAAGAUAAUUAGAGCAGAUAUAUAGAAUCUACCCCCUCCUCUACACACCAUCUCCUUCCAUCAUAUCACAACAUAUGGGGUUAAAAACACCCACCCAUCCUUACACACCAUAUAGCAUCGAUGUGAUACAUAACAAAUAAUAUUAAGUUAAGCUGUCAGAAUGUAGGCGAAAGGUCGUCGUACAGAUCACUUCCUCCACAUAUGCAAAUCCCACCCCAAACACAGAUACAUAAUACAGAAUUAACAUGCUUAACAUGCUCGUAUAUAGAUAACAUAUAUAUUCAAACAGAACAGUCAGACAUACAUAUCAGAGUCCCAUUAAGAUCAGACUAUCAGAAUAUCAGGUCACGUGAAUUAGGGUUUGGUUGACCCUUACUGUCCCUACGGUAGACCCAUAGUCGAUCGGAACGACCCGUGCGACCCUAGGGAAAAUUUUAAAAUCAUGGGCCCACAUACUCGUGUGGCCCACACACCCAAUCUAGUUUAGCUCGUGUGGCUCACACCGUCACAUGGUCAUGUCUCGUGCACGACCACACCUACGACAUUUACAUGACCGUGUCUUGUACACGGCCAACCACAUGGUCGGGCACAUGCUCGUGUGGCGUCGAUAAUACCCUUUUUUAGCUUUCAUCGAACCUUAAUUUUUCGUGUUUAGGAUACACACCUGGUACGAUUUUGAUGUGAAAACACUCCCGAGACCACUAGAACCUAAAAUUGACAUAACAAGCUUUCAAAAUCAGUCUAAUUCCUUAAUUAAAUCGAACUAACGAAAUCAACAAUAGUGAAAUUCAAGUUUUCAAGACUUACCCGAUUCCCCGAACAAUUUCGACUAUAAUUCUGUAAGAGAAGAACCACGUUCCUCGCACUGUAGUCAAACCCAUAAAAUCAAACUAACAAAAAACAAAACUAACUUAAAUAAACUUUAACCAAAGCCCUCAAUCUAAGAAGAAACUCACCACUUUCCUUUACCUAAACAUACAAAGUAAUCAGAGAUCCGUAUUAUCGCAAUUUUAGAAGGGAGAUUUUGACAAAAAUAAGGGAAGAGAAAAAAGAUUUUUGGUGGGGAAAGAAAAGUAUAACAUCAGAAACUAGAAGAGGGAGAAAUUUUUGGGAACAUAGAAUAAAUUAAAAUAAAAAGAUUAAGUCAAAUCCCUUAACCAUCCAACUAAUUAAGAAUCCCACUACCAACAAACCACUAUCAACCGCCGUCGCCAAAAAUUAUCACUCACGCUCGCACAUUAAUUCGAACACAGGACCUCCAACAAAUUAACUCCUUACCACUCGAACCAGCAGGCUCAUUCUAAUAUGAGUUUACAAACAAUAUAAUAUAAGACCACCCGACAGGGAUAAGUUUUGAAAGCAUUUAAAUUUACAUUUCAAAUGAACCUGGACAAGAUUUUUUCUAGAUUCAUUUUUAAUGUGUAAAAUAAUAAUUUCUUUAUAAUUUCUAGGAUUUUUAUAUUUUUAAAACUUAGAUUAUUUUUAUAAUUAUCUUUAAUUAUUUAUAUUUUUACCAUUGAAAUAAUUUUAAUAAUUUUUAAUUUUUUUACUAUAUUUCAAAUUUAUAUCUGAAUGAAUCUGGACAAAUUUUGUUCAAGUUCAAAUUUAUUUGGACAACUAUUUAUUCAGGUUUAUUCUGGAUGUAUUGAUAACUUUAAUAAUUAAAAUUAAAAUUAAAAUUUUGAUAAAUUCAAAUAAUAAAAAUUAAAAUAUUUAUUUAAUAAUUAAAUAAACAAUAAAUAAUUUGUAGUUGGUGUUCUAAAUUAGAAAGAAGAAGUGAAAGGAAAUACAUAUGCUGUCAAAAGAUUACAUCAACAUUUGUCCACUAGAUACACUAUUGUGGCCAUUAAAUGACGUACCAUAAAAAAAUAAAAAGAAAAGAACAAACAACUCAAAAACCGAUUUAUAUAUAUUAUUUGUAUUCUUUUGACUUAAAAGCAUAAUUGAAGCUAAAACUAAAAAUAUUGCAAUGAUUUUAUAAUGUUAUUGAUAAAUAUAAUCUUUUUAGGAAAUUUUAUAUCUCAUAAAUAUAAUAUAUAUAACUCUUCAGGAUAAUUUAAUUAUCAAUUGCCGAGAAGUUUUUGCAAUCAAUUCUAUUAAAAAAUAUUAUUAUUUAAUAGGAGGAGACUUUUUAUUCUUUUAUAUUUAUGUUUUUAUUUUUUUUAAAUAAAAUUACAAUUUGCAAUUAUAAGUAAUAUAUCAGACAUUCUCUCACAUGUAUCUGCACGUGGAAACCACAAAUUUAAAACAUAAAUGUAUGUCUAAAAUAACAUAUAAUAGAUAAUGAAACUUAUGGUUUGAAACUAAUUAAUAAUAAUGCAUUAAAUAUGUACGUUAUUAGAAUAAGAAAAUUAGAUUAAUUUUCGUAUCAAGUUGUUGUCAUCAAUCUUGAGUCCUUGUCGAGUUAACUUGUGGUAGAAAUUCAUCUAUAUUAUUAUUUAAAUUCUUGACUAAGUUGGUGUCAUGAGUAAACCGGACACCAACUUGGUUAGGAAGUUAUGAGAAUACCCUUUUGUAAUUAAAAUAAGUAAUGUUAUUCGAGGCUAGUUUAGUCUUUUAACUUUAAAAAACAUUAAGAAUAAGUAUAUGGUAGGAUUCGAACCCACAUCAAUUGUAUUAAUAAAACUUUUAAUUUACCACUCAAUUAAAAUUUUAUUUUAAUAUUUUUAUACACUUUAGUUUUAUUAUGCACACUCUAUUACCUUCAUAAGUUGUAUAUCUAUACAUACUAUUAUUUAAACUCCAUACUGAGUUGGUGUCACUCUCAAUUGGGUCACCAACUUGGUUAAAAAAUUACAAGAAUGCCCUUCUUUUAUUAAAAUAAGUAAUAUUAUUUGAGAGUAUUUUAGUUUUGUCACAUAAAACAAGGAAUAAAAAUAUACAUACGGUGAGAUUUGAACCUAGGCAAAUUUUGCAUUAGUAAAACCUUUAAUUUACCACCCAACUAAAGCUUUAUUUUAAUAUUUCUUAUACAUUUUAAUUUACUAUUUAUUUAAAACACAUAUGUGUGUUUUAAAGUAACAUACAAUAAACAAUGAAAGGUAUAGUUUGAAACUAAUUAAUCAUAAUAACUGCAACACCCCAAAUUCGGUUUGAAAGUUUAAGCCAAACUUGGAGGAGUUACACCAACGCAUUGAAAACUGGUUUCUUUUCGGGAUUUUAAUUUUGAAAAUCAAAAAUUUGUUUUUGUCGAUUUACGUGAUUUUGUAGUUUCAUGUUAGAAAUUGACUGAUACUACAAAAUGACAUUAUCACAGAAAUGUUUUGCCGAACCAUGACGUCUUGUAACUUGGGUAGUCGUGAUAUAUUGCUAAGUGUUACUCACUAUGUAAUGACAUAGUUUCCAAUGGUGUUGGGAAAUCCAAUUUCUGGACAUCAUUUUCAUAAAUUGAGUCCAUAAAUAGUAAACAGGGGUUUUUGUGGAAUAAUUAUGUUGAUAUAGCAAAAUUUAGUUAAGUAAUUUUGCAGAAAAUGUGGUUAGUUAAGGCUUGAAGACUAAAUUGUAAAAAAAAAAGUACUAUAGAUUUUUAAUUAAAAAAAGACUUGGAGACUUAAAUAGAGAUUAUCCAAAGGAUCAAAUGGUAAAUAAAAAAAAUAAAAUAGAUGAUAAUGGGAUUGGAUGGUGGAUGCCAUUAGAUAAGUUAAUUAAAUAUUAGAGUUUAAUUAAUUAAGACUAAACUAACUAAUUAUGUUUAAUUAGGAUUUUUUUACAAAAAUAAUAUUAAAAAAUAGUUAAUUACAAGAAUGAGUUUGAGGAAAUUACUUACAAAAAUAAGUUGUUUGCUACAGUACAAACUGGUAUCUACAACACCACCAAAAAAAUUAGGUCAAUCAUCAUUCAAUCAUUACAUUUUUUUUAAAAAGAAAUUUGAUUGGUUUCAUCACUAUAUUAAGCCACACCAAUUUAUAUAUUUUUUAAAAAUACUCAUAUUUUCACAUAUGUAAACGGUGAGAGAAAAAAUAAAAAAAAUUCUGAAUGCCACCAAUGUCUCAAACGUCACCCUUUCAAUUUUUUUUUUUAAAUGUCUGACAUCAUACGGUGCCAUUUACGUACAUGAUUUUUUACAUUUACUAGUGGGGGAUAACGCUCCCUUUCCUGCCUUCAAAGAUUUGCUAAGAGUUAUUGGUCAAGGGUUUUUUUUUUAAUCAGUUUUUUUUAACUUCAGCUGUUUGUUUUCAUGAUAGAAUUUUUUUGAAUUCAAAAGGAUACUGUCUGACACAUUUACGGUACCUACUUAAAAAAUAAUGUUUUUCACUUUUUCUUGCAUCAAGUAUAUUUGUGAGAAUACAACUAUUUUUUAAAAAAUAUAUUGGUGUUGCAGCACCAAUAAAAGAUUUUUUUUUAAAAAAAACAUAAUGAUUGACUGAUGAUUGACCGAAAGUUAGGUGGUGUUGCCGGUGUGUCAGGCGGCACCAGUUUGUAUUGUAACAAAUAACUCAUUUUCGUAAAUAAUUUUCCCCAACUCAAUUCUGUGAUUAAUUAAUUUUUAUAUUAUUUUUAUAAAAAACGGUGAAUUACAAAGUCAUCUUCUCCUUCCCCAGAGCUAUCGUCCAAUUUUAGAAGAGAAAAGAAAGCUUUAAAGCCUAACUUGAUACUCAGCCACCUAUUUGAGUAAGUCUCUAGCCAUUUUUUCUUUGAUUUUUAUAGAAAUUGAAUAAUGAGAGCUUGAUUUAGCUAACCCAUGCAUCAAUUUCCCUUACUUCAGUUUAUUCGAUGAUGCACUUCGAUGCCAAUUUGUAACAUUCUCGACCCGGUUUAGGAGUUUCAACUAAGUCGGAGGCGUACAUUUGAUCACCGAGGUGAUCAUGUAAAGCCAUUCUUUUUGAAGUGUUGAUUUAUAUGGAAAACUCUCUUUUGUCUUUAGGAAGAACAUUCAUUAAUUUAAAUUGGUUUUACUUAACAAUUCAAUUAUAAUAUUAUUAAUGUGAAGAUUUAGGAAAAUGAGGUAAAUUUUUUAAUAAAGGACUUAUCAAAAGCUUUUAGUAUUUUGUAAAACCAGGGAAAACAUUUAAAGUAGUGGUUUUCUAAACUGAAAAGCAUGCAAAUUUCAGAGUAUUAACUAAGUGUCAUGCUUUAAAAUAAAUAAGCUAAACAACUUUACCCUAAAUAUAAAAGCAAGAAAUAACUAACAAUUACAACCCAAAAAUAAAAGAUUUGAAGAAAACUUUAAUAAAAACUUUAUAAUAAUAAUAAUAACAAAAAAUUAGUUGUUAUUCUGAGGUUCCUUCGAUGCCAUAUCGAGUUGUAGUUUCUUAUGUUACCUAAGAGGAAAAGAAAGGGGGAAUGAGCUUACAACCACUCAAUAUGAAACUAGCUUAUAAAUCAUUAUAUAUAAUUGCACAAAUAGAAAAACAUAGAAAUAAUAGCGAGUUAAGUAUAACAUUUGGAGUACAUAGUAAAUCAAUGUAUAUACAGUUUAUGUAUGAUGCAAUGCAAAUCCAAAUUUCCCACCCGUUUAUUUUAUCCGCCCUCAAGCAUCGCUCGCCACACCUAAAACACAUAUCAAAGACUAGCCAUCCCUGAUUUCCCGAUGAAGAUGGUCAUUUACAUGUCAUUUGUGAUGAUGAAUUUUACUACAAUAACUUACUAUCCUGGUUGUCUGAUUUUGAUAGUUUUUUACUACGAUAAACUAUCAUCUCAGUCGUCACGGUUUAGGAUUAGUUUUCAUUUUGCUAGGGAUACUAGUGCCAACAUUGGUUUGCAACAUGUGGAGAAUUUGGUCUAGCUGGCCUUGCAUUUGACGCACUGUAGUGUGCAACAAACGUAUCCCUUCUUCAAGUUUACUAACCUUAACGGUCAUAGGGGGUCAUUGUUAAAAGUAGGCUUCCUCUUAAGGUCUUGGGGUUUAUAGGCUUGUAGAGGUUGGUAAGGAGGGGCUGGUCUAUGGUGGUUGAAGUUUCCCACACCUUGGUUUCCUCCCCACCUAAGGUUGGAAUGAUCACACCACCUUAGAUUAUAGGUAUUUGAGUAUGGGUUACCACCCCUAGUUCCCAUAUAGUUCCCCUCAACCUAACUACCCUCUUGGUGAUUUCUCUAAGUAGCUUUUCAUUUUUGCCCCCUACAUGAGAUCCCAUAAGAUGGUGUUUGUUAGGAUUGAGGCAUAUUAGAGCUAAUUUCGAGGUUAUUAAACCUCUAGAGGAGUUGCCAUUGACUGCAUUCACAGUCAGUGAUUUAGCUGUACAUGUGAAUCGCUUAAUCGACCACAUCUAGGAGUUCAUUGCUAAAUGUUUAAUGGGUUGGCAACCUUUAGCGUAAGUUUUAGACAUGAACGGCCCCGCAGAUGCUCCUUCUAAGCUUGACCUCAAAUUCCUGUCCAAACCAUUAUAGAAAGUUUGUAAUUACAACCAAUCUUGUAGACCAUGGUGAUGACACUUAUCUAGUGUUACUUUGAAGCACUCACAUGCCUCAUACAACAAUUCUACCUCCAAUUUCCAGAAGUUGGUGAUAUUCAUUCGCAACUUCAUCUUUUUGCUCAGUGGGAAAUAUUUGGUGAGGAAUUGGUUGGCUAGCUCAUCCCACAUAGCGAUAGAAUUUAUUAGCUGCGAAUCCAACCAUAUAAAAGCGUCAUCACACAAAGAGAAAGGGAAUAACCAAAGGCAUAUAACGUCAUUGGAUACCCUGUUAUACUUAAAAGUAUCACAAAUGGUUAGAAAAUGUUAAAGGUAUUGUUGGGAUCCCCAUGCAUUGAGCCCCAGAAAUAGAGAUAACUUUGUAUCAUCUAAAUCCUAGCCGACUUGAUCUCAAAAUUGUUGGCAUUAAUGGCAGUUUGGUUGAUACUCCUCGCACAACAUCCAAGUUUGGCAUGAUAUAAUCUUUCGAUGUACGGUUCGCCAUUCGUCUCGAUCAGAUAGGGGUUCGUGUUUCUCUAUGUUCAGAGGGCCUAGAGGUGGAUAUUCAAAUAAAAGAUUGUCAAUCGGUGGAUCAACAAUCAGUGAUUCUAUCGAUAGGUGACCCUCUCUUGAGGGUUGUCCUCAUCUUGCGUUGGAUAUUAUCUUUUCCGACUCGAGAUCAAAUGAGAUUAAAUCUUUGUUGCUCCAAGUCAUACAUUGAGAAAUGCAACCACAAGAAACACGGGUUAGUCAUGAAAUUAACUAAACAAAUAAAAAUAGAAAUACACAAAGAAGUAAAGCGCCGUAUUUAUAAACCUAGAUUUCACCAAUUGUCUUCCUGGCAAAACAUGAGAAAAUCACAACAAAUCAACUCAUCACACACACAUCUCCCAAAAACUUGAUUGCGCCACAGCGUACGAACUCCUAGCAAAUAAUUAGCACAAAAUAUAAGAAAUUAAAAGUGACUUGACUGCAAGUGUGAUAGGUCAAUUGUAAUAUUUGUAAGUGUUAUAAUGGAACACUUUGAGCUUUCCAAGGAUCAAACCCAAGAGAGGUCAAAGUUAAUUACGCUAAACUACCCUAAGGAGGACUAAAUUGAAUAACAAUAAAAAGUAUACAAAUAUAAUUCAAUGAGAUAAAGUGGUCGGUUGAUAUCCAUAUUUCUAAUUAAUUCUUGGAUUAGGGAUAUAAAUUGCUCAAACUCCUAAUUAGUCCAAUUUUACCUCUCGAUUACCAUUUUACCUAAUUAUACGAUUUAGUCUGAUUUAUCUCCCGACCUCACUAAACUAAGUCGGGUCAAUCAAAUUGGCUCACAAUAGGAUCUCCUUUCGGUCUCACCUAUCCAAAUGUUCACGUAGAGGCGUCAAUUCUAGGUUUUGAAAUCUAUUCAAUUUAAUCCGAUUUUUAUGAUUUACUCUUUGACCCAAAAAUUAACCAUGCAAUAUUUCAAUCAACCAACCACCAUAAAACUUAGUUACUACUCAUCAUCACAAGACAAAGACCAACCAAUUUCAAGCUAAAAUGAUUGGUCAAAUAACCACAAAAAGAUAAGUUUUAGAAAUGUUUAGUGACUCUUGAAGGAUCCUUUGAUGAGGAUGAUGACAACAAGAAAGAUGAUAAAUCUACAACCAAAUAUGAUUUUUUUUUUUUUUUUUGAAAACUAACAAGAAUAAAAUCUGUUGAAUGUUUUAAAUAGAAGUUGAAAAUGACAAGGUUGAAAAUGACAAGGUUGACUAUUGUAUCUACUUGGAAAAAAAAAAACUAAAACUACAGUAAAAGUAAUGACAAGGUUGAAUAUUGUGUCAGAAUUUAAUGCAUGAGUUAAAUAAAUGUUCCUUGAUAAAAGAAAUCCGUGAAAAAAUCAAUUGAAAAAAAGAGUCAAAUCGGUUUAACUUUAUAUGCAUAAAUUGACUUCAUUUGAUUUUAAAUUUAACUUCAUAUAUAUAUAUAUAUAUAGUUCAAUCUUAUUAGUCCGUUGUACCCAAAUAAAUUCUUUAUAUAUAUAUAUAUAUAUAAAAACUCAAUGAGUAUUUAUAACCUUAGUUAAAGAUUUAAGAUUUAAUAUCUUUAGCCAGUUGAGUCUUAAUUUAAUUGAUAUGAGUAUUAUUAUCAAUGCAGGAGAAUGUGAAUCCGAAUAUGUUAAAACGCAUUAUUCUUCUAUUUAUGGGUGGAGAGGGACUAUAGGUAAUUUUAAGUAUUAUCUUAAAAAAUAUAUAUAUGAUCAAAAUUUAUAAUAAGAUUAUUCAAAAAAAUGAGACUUAAGAUCCUUAAAAUUCACUACUAAUAAUUUUGAUCUGUUUAGCAAAAAAUAUUUUGUUUAUUAAAAUUUUCAAAAAUGUUUUUAUUAUAUUUAUAUAUAAGAAUAUUUGGUACAUCACUAUGGAUGAAACAUGCCAUUUUUCAAUUUUUAUUUACCCAAAAUUAAUAUUAUUUUUCAUAGUUUUUAAAUUGAUUCCUUAAAGAUUUUCUAAAAUCCUAAACAGGGCAAAAUUCCAUUAAAAAAAAUCCAAAAGAGAGCGGCUCAAAUAAGUAACAAAAAGAAUUGAUUAUUGAGUAGGAUUAAAAGUAGCAUGACAAACAUUUUUUUAUUAAGUAAAAUUUUAUAUCUAAAUAAGUUAGUAUUUUUAAAUAAUAUAUAGAGUCAUAGCAGUCUUACUUUACACUGUUAUUUCCUAAGAAAAUAAUUUCGGUGAUAAAAAGAUUGGUCAUAGAGACUGCAGGGGGAUUGAGGACUUAAAAUUCUGUCAAGUGUAUGUCAAAAGCAAAGAAAAGAUUUAAUAUCACUCAUGCCCUCAAACAUUAGGCAUCAAUCAUUUUCAUCCUUACAUUUCAAUCAAUGAAGAAUAAACCAGAAGUAUAAACUCAAUUUUAACCUUUUCUAUAUACAUUACAUAAGAUAACAUUAAAUCAAGUACAUUUUUUUAUUAACUACUGUAAUUAUUUCUUUUUAAACACAUUUCAUAUUAAAGUAAUAGUUAAGAUUUAAUUUAUACAUUACAUAAGAUAUUAUACAUUUCUAAACAUUUAUCUAUUAAUAUUUUACAGACAUAACAUUUCUUUUAAUCUAUUUCCAAUUCUCAUGCAAUGGGUCCUACAUUCACUUUGUUUUCCAUAUUUGUUUUCUUGAAUUUAAGUUCUCCUUUUUUGUAUUUCUCAUGCACUUUGUUUUCUUGAAUUUAAGUUCUCCUUUUUUGACUUCAAAUAUCACCACUAUUUUUCUUACCUAUAAAUACAUGCAACAAUUGCACUCUUAUCCUCACACAAAUUCUGUGCCAAAUUUCAAGAGCAAACCAAAAAAAGGCUGCAAUUUCAGCUUUUCAAUAUUUGCUUUUGAUCAAUCGAAAUGGCUUCACAAGAUUCUCAAAUGCCUUCUUCAUCACCCCUUUCUUCCAAUAAGGAUGAAAUGCGUCCCAAAGCCGAUUUUCAGCCUAGCAUUUGGGGAGAUCUCUUCCUCAAUUGUCCCGACAAGGUAUACAUACAUAUCACCAUAUUGAUAUAAUCUUAACAUAUUAUUUGUUUAAUUAUUUAGUGAUUCAAUGUGAAGAAAAUUUUCAUUAUUUUGAGCAGAAUAUUGAUGCUAGAACUGAAAAACGCCACCAACAAUUGAAAGAAGAAGUGAGGAAGAUGAUUGUGGCACCAAUGGCUAAUUCAACCCAAAAGUUAGCCUUCAUUGAUUCAGUCCAAAGACUGGGUGUGAGUUACCAUUUCACCAAGGAGAUCGAAGAUGAACUAGAGAAUAUCUACCAUAACAACAAUGAUGCCGAGAACGACCUCUACACCACAUCUCUUCGAUUCCGACUACUCCGAGAGCAUGGAUACAAUGUUUCAUGCGGUAAUUAUUGGAACAACAACAUAGUGUUUUUAAGUGUCUAGAGAAUAUAAUAGCAUGGAAUGUUUGAUAACGAUAUUUCAUUUUGGGUAAUUUCAUCUCAGACGUAUUCAACAAGUUUAAAGACGAGCAAGGGAAUUUCAAGUCAUCCGUGACAAGCGAUGUUCGAGGAUUGUUGGAACUUUACCAAGCUUCCUAUUUGAGGGUUCAUGGGGAAGAUAUAUUGGAUGAAGCAAUUUCUUUCACCACCAACCAUUUAAGCCUUCCAGUAGCAUCUUUGGACCAUCCUUUGUCCGAAGAGGUUUCUCAUGCUUUGAAACAAUCAAUUCGAAGAGGCUUGCCAAGGGUUGAGGCAAGGCACUAUCUUUCAGUAUACCAAGAUAUUGAGUCCCAUAAUAAGGCUUUGUUGGAGUUUGCUAAGAUCGAUUUCAACAUGUUACAAUUUUUGCAUAGGAAAGAACUAAGUGAGAUUUGUAGGUAUGUUUUGUUAAUCUCUUUCACCCAUUUUUUUUUUCUUUUUCAUCUUUUUUUAAUUUUUUGGUGGAAGGGGGGUUGAAUUUAUAGGAGGCAUCAUUCUCAGUAUAGGAUACGAGUUGCAAAUGCUAAUAUUUGAAUCUUAUUAAAUAGCACAAGUUAAAAGUGAUGGCAUGAACCUUAGAUUCAUCUUUUUCACCAUUUUCAUUUUAACCUUAGAUUCAUCUUUUUCACCUAUUUCAUUUUACUUAUAUAAUUUUUAAAAUUUGAGGUUCCCAAUUGACUUAAGAGUUUAACAAUUUACUCAUUGACAACAUGAAUGUGGAACUAAUUAAAACUUUGUAUGGUCAUUGCGUUAAUGGGGUUUUUUAUAAUAUGAUUUUUUAGGUGGUGGAAGGAUUUAGACUUUCAAAGAAAGUUGCCAUAUGCAAGAGAUAGAGUGGUUGAAGGUUAUUUUUGGAUCUCGGGAGUGUACUUUGAGCCCCAAUAUUCACUUGGUAGAAAGAUGUUGACAAAAGUGAUAGCAAUGACAUCUAUUGUAGAUGAUACAUAUGACUCAUAUGCAACAUAUGAAGAGCUCAUUCCCUAUACAAAUGCAAUUGAGAGGUUAGAUUUCUUUAAUUUUGCUAGUAAUAGGUUAGGUUUUUUUUGUUCAAGUGAACAUUCAAGUAUAUAUUACGAGGAAUGAUCAAAUAUAACGUUGAGGUUUGAUUCAGGUGGGAUAUCAAAUGCAUAGAUGAACUUCCUGAAUACAUGAAACCAAGCUACAAGGCACUAUUAGAUGUUUAUGAAGAAAUGAUACAAUUGGUGGCUGAGAAUGGGAGACAAUAUCGUGUUGAGUAUGCGAAGAAUGCGGUAUGUACAUUUGCAAACAUUUAUUUUAUACAAAAGAGAUAAGAUCUUAGCUAAAUUCUAGAUUUGAAUAAACAACUAACUUGAAUAACAAUAUAUAAUCAUUUAAAUAUUAUUAUUGAAUUUUAAUUGAUAUUAGUGAUAAUUGUUGGGACUUUGUUGUCUUAGAUGAUACGACUUGCUCAAUCUUACCUUGUGGAGUUCAAAUGGACUCUUCAAAACUACAAACCAUCAUUCGAGGAGUUUAAGGCUAAUGCAUUGCCAACUUGUGGUUAUGAAAUGCUUGCUAUUACAUCUUUCGUCGGCAUGGGAGAUAUUGUAACGCCAGAGACCUUUAAAUGGGCAACUAAUAACCCUAAGAUCAUUCAAGCUUCCACAAUUAUUUGUAGGUUUAUGGAUGAUGUUGCUGAACACAAGGUAUAAUAAUAUAUUUAUAUGAUCACAAGAAACCGAACUCUUAGCUCAAUAAUUGAAUGUCUUUGUAGCAAAAUUAAAUGAUGGUUUUUAUCAUGAUCUGAAACAAUUAAAGUUUAAUGUUGACAUAUCAAAUGUUUAGUCUUAAAUCGAAAAAUAAGAAAAUAAAUCUAGUUUCAUUUUAAACAAAACUAUAUUAAAUAUAGUUUAAUAAUAUGAUAGGUUUUAGGGUAUAUAGUGAUAGAAUAAUUUUGAUUUUAUUAUGGUUGCAGUUCAAGCAUAGAAGAGAAGACGAUUGCUCAGCAAUUGAGUGUUACAUGGAAGAAUAUGGCGUAACAGCAGAAGAGGCAUAUGAUGUAUUCAACAAGCAUGUUGAGAGUGCGUGGAAGGAUGUAAAUCAAGAGUUUUUGAAACCAACAGAAAUGCCAACAGAAGUUUUGAAUCGUAGUCUAAACCUUGCAAGGGUGAUGGAUGUGCUUUACAGUGAAGGAGAUGGCUAUACAUAUGUUGGAAAAGCAGCUAAGGGUGGGAUUACUUCAUUGCUGAUUGAACCAAUCGCAGUUUGAAAUUAUAUUAAAAUUUCCUCUUCAAGCUUUUUCCUUAAGGAAUAAAUAUUAAAUUUUAAGUAAUAAUGUUUUAUAAUAUUCAUACAUAUCAUAUAAAGAAAAAGUCCAAAUUGAUUAGAUUUGUACUCAAUACCUUAUAUUAAUCCAAUGAAGUUUUUUCUACCUUUUUACCAUCAAAGUCCUGCUCUUUUUUCAAGAAAAGCUUUCUUCUGUUUCAUAUUUUCUUUUCUUUUAAUUGUUUAUUUAUUUAAUGGCAUUCAUGAAUAUAUAUAUAUAGUAUGAGAAUAGGAAGAAUAACAAAUAUCAUAAAUGGGAUCAAAGUAGGAAAAAGAAUCCAGUAAAAUUACCACUUAAGAGAUAGGUUUUCCUUUAUUCAAAUUUACAAUUUACUAAUAUCAAAUAUGAAAUGCCCACAUUAAUUAACACUCAUCUAAUUUGUAGGUAAUUGUAAAUAAUAAAUAGUCUAUUUCAAUGUAGUAGUUGUUUGAAUGAUAUGAUUGGAGAAGAAUGUGAAAUCAAAUACUCAAUUGAAAAAAUCGUUUCAUUUAAUUCCCCACUCAUAAAUUAAUUAACAUAAUGAAGAAAGUAAUAAAUUUCUCGUUCAAACAUUAUAUCCCCGACAUUGACAAAACAAUAAAAAGUAACCAUAAAAAAUAAAAUGAAAAAAAAAGAUAAUAUUUGUGAAAAAUAUUAACCCCCAAAAGGAAAUAACUAUAUAGCAAUAGAAAAUAUAAUCUACUCUAAUUUGUCGCUAUAACUUUGGAGUGUGAUCUUGUCGUGCUCUUCCUCUUUGUUGGCCUAUCUACCACCGUUGUUUCCACUUUCAGCGAUGUUUUCUUCUUUAACAUAACUUUAUCUUUCGAGAUUGCAUACAAUAAAGGUUCACCUUUCAAAUAGACUUUCAGGCCUUGCCUCAACGAGCUCACCUAGCCAAGCAUACCUUUGUCUAUUCAAGCCUUUCCAUUACUAGCCCACCCUUUAGAAUUGACUCUUAAGCUCACCUUUUUAAUCUUGUUAAGAUCAUGAAAAAGUUACACCAACAAAAUACCUACCCGUCCAUCAUCUCCUUUUUAGGCAUGCCAAAGACAACACAUCACAUCAUCAUCGAAAGGAGAGCACCUCGCCAAAAAAAGUUCUCGGGAAAAGCCACUUUAUAACCUCUUCCUCGACUUUCAAAGGAAAAUUAUUAUACUUAAACACCUCGCUAGGUCAACCAAUUUUAUCUAGAAGGGCUCGCCCAUGAAAGGGCUUGCCAAAUUCAAGCUUUCAAUUAUCUCCUUACAUGUGCCACUGUCAAAUCAAGUCCCAGUGCUGAGUCUCAUUAGGGCCUACUCAGAGGUCCUUUCUACCACAUCCUAGUAGGACCCUCCAUAACUUUAGUACAAACUCCAUACACUACCACAUGUCAUUGCCUGACAGGGCUUUUUUGGCCUUACGACUGAGCCUGAGGUAGACCACCAUCACAAUAAGCUGUACACAAACCUCUAUAUGAAGUUACCUCUUUCUCUAAGAAGAGGUAUAUUCAUUUUCCAUAAUAACCUUGUCUAAGUUCAUUCAUAACUCUAGAUAUCUCCAAACCUAUUUACUUCCUCUAGUGGUUCUUAGCAUGUUGGUGUGAAUUACACUCACUGUAAACCCAAUCUCCUUUAAUGGUUCUCAGUACUUUAGUAUUAACAUCCCUAGGUACUUCCAUUUUUGAGUCAUAUAAGACAUUGUCUUCUUCUUCAUUGGAGCUAUCGUUAUUUCCACCACCUCUUUCAUCAAAGAUACUUCAGAAGUUUAAAUGCAAAAAAAAAAAAAAAUUGUCUAGCUAUACUUUUUGUGCCAUAGUCCAACUAUGGUCUUACACAUACAUUGUCAUGGCCCUACCAUGGUCUUACAUUUGUAGUGCCAUAACCCAGUUAUGGUCUUAUUAUCAGAAUGUCAUAGCCCAGCUAUGGUCUUACACAUGUAUCUAUAUUGCCAUGGUCCAACCAUGGUCUUACGUUCAAGGUGCCAUAACCCAGUUAUGGUCUCAUUAGAAAGCUAUAGCCCAGCUAUGGUCUUACAUAUAAACACUGCCAUGGUCCAACCAUGGUCUUACGUUCAUAGUGUCAUAACCUAGUUACGGUCUUAUCCCUCAAUUCAUCCUUUGCCACAGAACGAUUGUACUCAAUCCCGCAUUCAAUCCAAACUGAGUAUUAAAUUCAAUAAUAUAUUUCUAAUAAUAAUUCAAUUCCAACAAUUGAACACACAUAUAUAUAAUAUCCAUCACCAAAUAUCAUUCACUUUAAUCAAAAUUAUACAGAAUAUAGUUCAUACGAACUUACUAGCCUAAAUUGCAUAAAUACCAAUAUACAGAGGCAUUUUAGUAAUUUUCCAUUUUCCUCGAUUUUCCACUCAAUCUUGAUCUAAAUUAAUAUUUUAUUCAAUUUAUUAAUUUAAAUAAUAAAACAAUUUAUUUCAUACAAUUUGGUCAUUUUUGACAUUUUUACAAAAUUACCCUUAAAAUUUUACUUUUAUUCAAUUUAGUCUCUGAAUCUAAAACAUGCAAAUUAGUCAUUUUUAAUGAAAACUCAUGCUAGUUGAAUAUUCAUAUAUUUUCCUCCUCCUCCUCUCCAUUCCACAUCCUUAAUGUAUAUAUUAUGCUUAUAUGUAAUAUUAUCUAUAAUUCUACUAUUUACUUAUGUUCAUAUCAAAGCUGUCCACUUGAAUCACGGUCAAUAAUUUAUUUAUAUCUCGAGCUAUAGAAUUCUAAAUUAAGAUUCGCUUGAUGUUUUUGAAACUAGACUCAAAUAUCUUUCCACCAUAAAAUUUUUAGAAUUUACAGUUUAGCCUAUAAGUACAGUAAAUGCUUCAAAUUUAUCCCUAUUCUGCUGUUUGAUAGCUUUGACCUUUGCUUGCUAAAAAUUAAUUAUCUCUUAGUAUGGUGUCUGAAUGAUGUUUCUGUUUGUUUCUCUUGAAAAUAGACUCAUCAAGAAUUUUAAAAAAUAAAUUUAAACCCCUAAUUAUUUUUUAAAAAAUUUUGAUGAUUUUCCAAAGUCAGAAUAGGGGAACCCGAAAUCAAUCUGACCCUGUCUCACAAAAAUUCAUAUAUCUCUUAAUAUGAAAUUCUUUUGCUUACAUCGUUUCUUCCAUGUAAAACAAGACUUAAUAGGAUUUAUUUUAAUACUUUAAUUAACCUCUAAUUCAAUUUCUACGUUUUUUGGUGAAUUUUCAAAGUCAGACUACUACUACUGUCCAAAACUGUUUUAGUGUAAACUGUUGAUAACCAAAUUUAUAACACCCUCAUUUCCUUUCUCUACAAUAUUUCCCAUCACUUCCUCUUAUUUCCCUUUACUAGAAUAUCAAGAACAUAGAAUCUUAUAUAAUAAAACUCUACUUUACCAUCAAUUUCAUACUUUUUCAAUAAUAUCAAACUAAAAAAUAUAUUGAAAUCUUGAGGUUCUUACCUUGUCCUAUUGAUUUCAAUCUUUAACUUAAUUUUCUCUCUCCUCCAGCUUCUAUUUCUUGAAUCUAACUUGAUACUCUAGCUCCCCAUUGUCUCCUUAUUAUUUUUCUCUCUUGGUAGCUAUGGAAAUUCUUUUGAUUUCUAAGUGAAAAUGGUGAAUUUUUGGUAAAAUGACCAAAUUAUAAAGAAAAUAAAUUUUCUUUCUUUCAUUUUUUUUUCUUCUCACGUUGGAGGCAUGAAAGAUGAUAAAUUCUCUUCAUCUUUCCUCCCUUUUAUAUUAAUCAUUUAAUAAUAAAAUAAUACUAAGAAUCUAAAUAAAAUAUUAAUUAAACAACAUUUAUCUAAUUAAUUAAUUAAAAAUAUCACCAACAUCAUCAUUACCUUUUAGAGUUCUCUCUCUUUCUAAUUGACCAUUUUGCCCUUCAUGAUCUUUUAAAAUUCCAUCAUUGAGUCAUCACUUAAUUUGGUAAAAUUAUGAUUUAGUCCAUCAUAAUUCUUCACCUAUUCAAUUUGGUCCUAAUUCAUCCAUUUUCCUUAUUUUCUAGAUCAUUCCACCCUUAAAAUAUUUUCACUAUUGGUCCUUGAACUUUUUCAUAUUUACACUUUAACCCCUCAAUUUUUGAGUAUUUACUCUUGGGCAACAAAACUUUUCUCACUUUUGCGAUUUAAUCUUUUCUUGCAUUAAUAUGUCAUAAUAUACUUCCCAAUGUUGACAUAACUCAAAAUUUCCCUUUUUGUCACUUUAUUUCCUUAUUUUACUAUAUCAAGGAUACUAUAUUACUUUAUUCCUGUAGUAAUUUUUGGGGUAUUACAAGGACGGACCAACUAGGAAAUUAUUCCCAGGCCCGCAAACACACCGUUCCAUGAGCGACUGAAAAGAAACAAAAUCACUGGGCAAAAAUUAAAAAAAAAGAAAUAGGACUAGAUUGAAAAACAAUUAAAAAGCAGAAGGACUGAAGUAAAAAUUAGACCCUUUCUUAAGAAAACAUGCGGAUCUUGUUUGUAUUUAGGUCAUAUUUCAAAAUGACGUCGUUUUGGGGCUAUUGAAGCUAGCUUUAAACGACGUCGUUUAGCCUCGCCUAUAUAAGCCAAAUUUUUUUUAAAAAAAAUCAUUAUGUUUAGUUUUUCUUAAAAAAACUGAGUCUUUUUUUCUCUCUCGGUUUUCCACGUCUGCCCCUGGCGCCGGCGAUGAUUUCACCGUUCCCGGUGGCUAGAAUCUACGAGCAACCAUUUUUUGGCCGUUACGGCUUCUUGAGCCCGAAUCCGGGGUCAGUACUUUCCAAAACCCAACAAAAAAAUAAAAAAAAAUCUAAACAGCCCCUUGGUUUUCUACGCCGUGGUCCUUAGACAAAACAGAAGUGACUUGGAGGUCUCAUCGAAGGGAGCCGUCCGUCAUCACGGACGGAGUCCUCGUCUACUCGCGGCGGUGGAACAUGAAACGACUCAGUAAGUUUUUUUGAUUUUAUGUUUUAUGUUUUUUUUUCUAAAAAUAACAGAUAAAAAAAAUGAAGAAAAUCACCUUUAAAAAUGUUUUCUUUGUAUUCUGUUUUUUUAUUCCUUUUUUUCUCGUAAAGAAAUACAUAAAAGUCAUGGCUUUUAUAGUCGAAUUACACUCUCUUUUUUACUGUUUUUCUACUGUUUCUACUGUUUUUUCUUGGGUGUUGUGCUUCUGUCCUUGUUCUGCCUUUUUUGCAAGUGUCCCUAGUCGACGGCGACAACUGGCAGAUGAGGUGUCAAACCUCAGGCAACAAAACCGCUGGUAAAGCAGAGGCGGCGGCGCGCUGGCUAAGGAUUCUGUCCUUCUGAAAAUGUUUGUUUUUUGGGCCACUGGGCUCGCUUUUUACAUUUGGGCUUGUAAUAUUUUUAUUUGGAUUUGUAAUUUUGUAUUUAUUUGUAAAUUAGGCUUGAGCGAAAUUGGGUCAUUAUAUUGUACAUGUAAAAUGUUUUGUGGGUUAACUGGUCGAGUCAAGUACAGACGGCUACCAAAAGAAGAUGUGUUAAAUCAAAGGAAAAUAAUCAAGCGAAUUUAUAAUUUUAACGAAGAUAUUGUUGGUUGAAAUUUUUAAGUAUUUUGUAUUUAUAUUUAAAUUUUAUUAUAUGUAAUUAUCAUAUUUAGAUCUUUAGUUUUAUAAUGCGUCGUUGUUAAGUGUAUAUUUUUGUCCAAUGAAUCAAUUUUAGUUUUAAUUAUUUUAAUUUUUAAUGUAUUUUAUAUUAAUUUAAUUCUAUUUUAUAAUUAUCCCAAAUGCAUUUAUAAAUAUACUAUAAUCACAAUAGAAUUUAUAAUUUCAUAUCGUUUUUUUUAAUAUUAGUUUUAUAUCCUAACACAUCAUGAAUUUAUCAUUAAAUUUGUAUUAUACUUAUUUUAUUAUUGAAACUUUGAAUAUGAUUGUUUUAUAGUUGUGAUUUCCUUUUUUAACAUGUCAGGUUUAGAGAAUAUAUAUAUAUAUAUAUAUAUAUAUAUAUAUAUAUAUAUAUAUAUAGAAUAUUUAAAUUUAUAUAACCUGUCAGUGCAGAAAGAUGUGGGUUUGAGUGUGUUAAAACAUAUUGUUCUCUUAUUUAAGGGCUAGAAAAGGAUUAUAGGUAAAUCUAGGUAUUAUAUAAAAAAAUAGUUGAUUUGGAAUUAAUAAAAAUGUAAACUUAACUAUUCAUAAGUUUAUUAUCAAUUAAUAAAAAUUAAUUCUAAUAAUUUUUUUUUUCAUAUUUUUAGUAAAUUCAUUUUAAAAAUCUAGAGACUGUAAAGUCAAUCAGUAGAGCACAUGCUUGUUGGAGAUACUUUAAUUCUGGGAUAUCAAUGCCAUUAGUAAAACUACGCAUGCAGAAUAAAAUAUUAAAAAGAAAUAAGAUAUUAAUUUUAUUGAUAACUUUGAAUUAUAAAUAUAGACGCCAUUGCUGAAAUUUGCUUACUCUGAAUAUUUUUCUUCUCAAUUCUAAUGUAUCAGAAAAUUUUAAAUGAUGGGUUUUGAAUAUAAAUUUCUAGUAUUCACUGAAUCAUACAACUAUGGAGUACUUACAAUUCAAAUUGAAAAUAUUGUGAAAAAUAACUUAUUCAAAUAGUCAAGCCUUCUUAUUGUUAAGUUUUUUACUAUUAUAAUGGUACUACAUUUACAAAUAUAAAGACAUGUUUAAGUUUUAUCUUUUACAUAAAUGAUAUGAUUCCAUUCAUGGAAUGAAUGGUGACGACUUAAAAUACUAGAGGUCCAAAUUGAUUCGUGAAAUUAUUUAUUAUUCUAAAAUACUCUCUAAACAAAAACAGAUCAAGAGCCAAUUAAAAGUCACUCACUUUCUUAGAGAAACUGUUGAUGGUCAGGGUAAUUUCAGCGACGAUAGGCAUCAUCAUCUGUCCAUCACAACAUGUGAAGAUAACAAAGAUACCUACAAAAUAGAUGUAUCAAUUGAAAAGAGAGAAAACCUAUGGAAUAGAUGAGGAGAAAAAAGAAAGUGAGUUGGUGGGAGGGAGCAAAAGGUGGGCAGUAGCCAGCCCGGAGAUUGCCACCGUUGCUACGCAAAACAAAAAAGAAGAAACAAACGGCUUGGAGAAAAAAGAAAAAAGACCUAAAGGACUAAAUUGCUCACUUUUAUACUUAAGGAGUUAAUUUGUUCUUUAGUUUAUAAUACAAGGAUCCACAUUAUAAAUUUUCCAUUACAAAUAGACGCCUUUGAUGAAAUUUGCUUAUUUUUCCUUUGAAUCUUUUGUGUUAAUUCCAAUGUAAAAAAUGGAAUAUUCUAAACGAUGGGUUUAAAAUAUAAAUUUCUAGUAUUGACUGAAUUGCAACUAUAGUGUUUACUAUUCAAAUUGGAAAAACAUGUUAAAUUAAUUGUGAAAGAAAAUUCAUUACUCAAAGAGUCAAGCGGUCUUGUUUGAAUGGUUUAUUUUUAUUAGAUAUUUUUCGUUGUUUUCACAAUUUUGUGUGGAAUUUCGUAGUUAUAUAUAUUGAGAAUUUGGUCACUGAAUUGUCUACUUCGUCUUUUACGAUGAUUCAAAUGACUCUUCAAUGCUCUCAGUGUAUCAAAUAUAUCAUAUAAUUUUAUGUAUUAUUUCUCAAGUCAAUUAUUUUACUGCUAUUUUAUGGAUGGCUGAAAAUAUGAUCAAUGUGCCUUUUUUUUUCCUCUAUGAAUGAUGACAUUAUGUUAGUCAACAGUUUACUAUCUUUAUAUAAUAUAUAUUAACAAUUUUUUAGUAAAUUAUAAGAGGAUGACAAAACGUUAAUAGUAACGCGACUCGGGGGCGAUGAAUACCCUGAUCAACAAGCCAACACACAGAUUUAUAUAUUAACAAUUUUUUAGUAGUUAAUUUUUCUUAAUAUAGGUAAACCUCACAAUUUUGAUUUCAAACUCAAAAUUUGACUUGAAAAAUUUUACUUGAUCAAUUUAAAAUAAAGCUUAUUUUAUUUUUAUUUAAUUAUAAAAAAUUAAAAAUUUAAACUUAAAUUGCUUCAAAUUCAAAAUAUAGGGGCUGGCUCUGCACCCUAAAAUGGUAAGUUUCUGUUUUAGUGUUUUAAAUUUUAUAAACUAUGAAAAUUACUACAUGGGCUUUCAAAAAUAAUAAAAUUUUGAUUUAAUCUUUAAUUAAUUAUAAAGACGUAAGCUAUUAAAAUGAUGAAAUUACAUUUUACCUCUCGUAAAAACUUUACAACUUACAAGAGAGUAAAUAGAUCCGAAAACCUCAAGCAACACAAAAUUAUUUGAAUCCAAAGCUCAUUUAUAUCUAAAAAUUAUGUAAACAAAAUUGUUUAUGUUUAUACAUUUUUUUAAUAAUUUCAUUACAGGUUCUGAUCAUAUAUGCUCUUUUUGACAUAAUGCCUAGAAUUACCCGUAAUCUCUCCUCAACCCAUAAAUAGGAAGAUAAUGCGCUUAAGCACACUCAAAACUAGAUCCUCUUACAUUAACAAUAAUACACAUACCAAUCAAGAUUAUAUAUUUUUUAUUAAGCUAAAAAUGAUUAAUUAAUUGUAUAUAUUUUUUAAUGUGACCCAACACCAUAUGAAUGAAACAAAUGAAUGCAUCAGCUCACUUGACUGAUGAAAGACGUAAGAAAUAUUAAAAUCUAUAUAAUAAAACAAUUAAAAAAAAGAUUGCAGAUAGCUUGCACAUCAAGCCUACUAUGUUUGAUUUUUAAUUUAAAUUUCUUAUCAUUCAUUUUAAACGUUUAAUUAUGAUAUUUAAUUUCGUUGUCUUGUAGUAAUUUUUCUCCCAGGGUAUAUUCAAUUAAUGUUUGCCAAUGUAUAUCUCAAGAUCAUGACAAUGGUUUGACAUAAAAUUAUAUAGAUGCAUGCAAAUUUCCCCUUGUUUUCUAUUAAUCAUUUAGUUUUGGCAUAAUAAUUUUUUCGCCCUCCAACUUCACAAAACAAGUCAUUUUAGCCCUCCAUUAAAAUUUUCGCUUCUUUUAACACUUGAAUUUGUAUUUUUUGUCAAGUCACUCCAAAGUAGAUGGAAAAAUAAAUUUUUAUUAACUUUCAUGACGUGUUAUAUAUGUGGAUUGCUGAGCAGAUGACAUAUUAGCAUUUAAUUCAUCUCUAAACUAUUAAAAAUAUUGUUAUUGUAUUUUUUAAUAAUUUAAUAAUUUUUAAUUUUUAAAUAUAAUUUUAUAAUAUUUUGAAUUUUUUAAAUUUUAAAAAAUUAAUUAAAUAUUGGCAUGUCAUCCCUAUAGCAGUCCACAUGUAUACAACAUCAACAAAGUUAAAAAUGUUAACUUUUUCAUUCAUUUUGGGGUGAUUUGACAAAAAUACGGAUUUAAGGACUUAAAAAACUAAAAAAUUAAAUGAAAAACUAAAAUGAUUUUUUUAUAAAAUUAAAAUAUAUAAAAAAAAACAUUAUGCCUUUUACUAGAAUGAGCACCCCCUUUCACUGGGGCUGCUGUAAAUCUUAUUAUAAUUUAGUCAAUUGAUAGUUAAAAACAAUUUAAAGAUGAAAUAAUUAUUUUUGUUAAAAAUUUUAUUUCUAAAUUUAAUAAUAUGACUAUUGAUAUUUAUAUUUUUAAUCAUAAAAAUUAAAUUUAACAUAAUUUUUUAAGAUUUAGUGCUGAUUUUAGACUGACAUAUAAGUUAAUCUAUGGAUCAAUUAUUUUGGAUACAUCAUUUAAUGCGAUAAUAAAAAAAUUCAUGCAAAUUCAAAUUUAAAUAAAUCAACUCAAAAAAUUUGAAUAGUUUACUAUCUCUAUACAAUAUAUAUCAGCAAUUUUUUUGGGUGAAUUAUAAGAUGAGGGCAAAGUCUUAAAUAGGAAUGCAGCUUGAACUCAGGUCACACUUGAGGCGAUGAAUACCCUAACCAUCAGACUAAUACAUAAAUUCAUAUAUUAACAAUGUUUUAGUUGCUAAUUUUUCUUAAUAUCGGUAAACCUUGCAAUUUUGAUUUCUAACUCAAAAUUUGACUUGAUAAAUUUAACUUGAUGAAUUUAAAAUAAAGCUUAUUUUAUUUUUAUUUAAUCAUAUAAAAUUCAAACUUAAAUUGAUUUAAAUUCGAAAGAUAGGGGUUGGUUCUGCACUCUAAAAUGGUAAGUUUAUGUUUUAGCAUUUUAAAUUUUAUAAACUUUAUAAAUUAGUAUAUGGUAAAAAUUAUACUUUGACUUUCAAAAAUAAUAAAAUUUUGAGUUAAUCCUUAAAUAAUUAUAAAGAUGUAAGCUAUUAAAAUGGUGAAAUGGCAUUUUACCUCAAGCAACAGAAAAUUAUUUUAAUCUAAAGCUCAUUUAAAUCUAAAAAUGAUGUAAACAAAUUUGUUUUAUGUUUAUACAUUUUCUUAAUAAUCUCAUUAUAAGUUCUGAUGAUAUCUGCUUUUUUUAACACAAUGCCUAGAACUACCCAUAGCCCCUCCUCAACCCAUAACCCCUCCCCAACCCAUAAAUAGGAGGAUAAAGCAUUUAAGUGCACUCGAAACUAGAUCCUCUUACAUUGACAAUAAUACCUAUACCAAUCAAGCUAAAAUUCAAUCCACUUUGUAACGUCUUGAAUAAUUUAAGUUUGUUUUUUGUGAAAUCUGACAUUAAGGUGUAUUUGUUUUAGUGGUUAAGUGUCCUGAGUGUGUGUGUAUCAGGUCUAGGGUUCAAUUCCUACAUUUGAAAAUUUUUUGUUAUUUUUGAUCCAAGCCUUAUCCCUAUUGGGUGGGUUUAUAUAAAUUGUCUGUUAAUCUAUAUCAAAAUGAGCAUAUUAUUUCGAGUGGUAAUGAGUUAACUUGUUGGAGGUCUUACGUUUGAAUCCCCACGUGAGCGAGGGUAAUAAUUUUUGCUUCGAUUGACUGAGUUUGGAUGGAAUCGAAAUUCUGUUUAAAUGGGUAGUUAUCAGUUGGUUAGGAGUGGAUAUAGUGGGAUUUUUAUUUUGAGAUUAAUUUAUUUUUAUUUUUAUCUUAUUUUAUUUUUUUCCCAAAAUCUUUUUUUGUUUUGAGGUUCUGUUUUCUUUUUCUUUUCAACUUCUGUCAAUUUUUGCUCUCCUUUCCUCUUUUGUUUUGGUAAUCAAAUUUAUUGGUGCAAUUCAUUGUAUUUCAGUCUAAGUACCCAAUUUCGGUUUGAUAAGUGUGGUUUUUAUUUUUGGCUAGUGAAUUUUUGGUUGAUGGGGUCUCAUUAUUGUUGUUUAUGAGAAGAUCAAGGGGCUUGGGGCUUUCUAUCAGUGUUAUAACUAUAGGAAAUCAUCAUUGUUCAUUUGACAGUUAGGGUUUUGGUUGAACAAGAGAUUGUUAAUUCGAUAUAGUUUCAGUUUAGCAUUGUUUUAGGUGGCUAAAUUCGACUUUUUAAUGAUCAAUUUUAGGUUCUGGUGGUCUCAAGAGUGAUUUCGCAUCAAAAUUGAACGAGGUGUGUACUCCUAACACGAAAAAAUUGAGUUUCGACGAAAGCUAAAAAUGGAGUCUGUCGACGCUACACAGGUGUGUGGCCGAUCGUAUGGAUGGCCGUGUGUGAGACACGACCGUGUAACUAAUGAAUGAGUGGUCAUGCACAAGACACGGUCGUGUGAUGGUGUGAGUGUGGCCAUAUGGGCCACACGGGCUAGGCCAAGUUAGGCAUGUGGGUGUGUGGGUUUUGGGCUAAACCAGUGGACCACACGGAUAAGGCCAAUCUGGGCGUGUGGGGCCACAUAGGCAUGUGGGCCCAGAAUUCUAAAACUUUCCCUAAGGUCGCACGGGUCAUUUCGAUCGACUGUGGGCCUACCGUAGGGUCGGUAAAGGCUAACCAAACCUUAUUUCAUGUGAUUUGAUAUUCUGAUAGACCGAUCUGAGUAGGAUACUAAUAUGCAUGUUUGACUGUACUGUUUAAGUAUGUAUCUAUCUGUAUACGAGCAUGUUAAGCAUGUUUAAUAUGAUAUUUUUGCAUUUGUACUCUGUAUCUAUGAAUAGAGUGGGAAUUGUAUAUGUGGAGGAAGUGAUCUGUGUAGCGACUCUUCACCUAUAUUUUGGCAACUUGACUGCAUAUUAUCUGUUAUGUGUCGCAUCGACAUUGUAUAAUGUGUAGGGAUGGGUGAGUGUUUUUAACGUUACGUGGUGUGAUGGUAUGGUUGGAGACGGUGUGUAGAGGAUGGGGGUAGGAUUCUGCAUAUCUUUUCUAUUUAUCUGAUUAUGAUAUUUGUAUCUGUUAUGGACUUAAGUUCGAAUAUGUAUCUGACUGUAUAUGAAGCAUUGUGCGUGUUGCAUGGCUAUUUCUAUUGGGUUACACACUGAGUUUAUGAAAAUACACAAUUGUUUGUCUAUUCUGUUCAGGAAAUCCAUAAACUUAGGCGGGUCGGUGCGAUACAGGCUUUGCGGUAACCACUCGACCAAGAACUAUUUUUAUUUAGUAAUUAGUGGUUUAAUUUUAAAGUCUGGUUUUUCUUGAUAGUUUGUAAUUUUUGGGACUCUCCGGACAGUUUGGUUUUAACUUUUGGAUUUGGAUUUUGUUUUGCUAUUUUUUCGCAACGUCAACAAAAACACUUUAUGCAACAAAUGGGUUUUUGAAAACACGAGCUUGGUUUUUGUUUUAAACGAUUUCCAAACUUUAGCUGCGAAAUAAAUGUUAAUUUUAAGGAACAACUUAUAACGAUUUCAGUAAUGAAUAUGUUUUAUAAUACUUGACGUUUUAUCAAAUAGCUAAACAUGGUUUAUCGAAGAAUCGUCGAUUUCAAAACCCUUAUUCGUAACACUCUCGAAUUCAGCCAUAACAUCUAGGCCAUGUUUGGGGUGUUACAUUUAGUGGUAUCAGAGUCAAGUUGCAAAACUCGAGAUGUGAAUUUUGGGUUCCGAAUUUGUGUUUUGAAAAAGGACUAGUUUUCAAACGAUUUGAAUAAUUUUCAAUAAGUAUGUGGUACAUCAAGUCUCCGGCACCGAUCCUGUAAGUAUUUCUGAACUUAGAUAGAACAUUCUUAAAAUACUAUAGUUAGUACUUUCUAAAACUGUACUGAGUUAGUUAGAGCUUAAAACCUCUGAAAUCCUUUGGAACUUCUGAUAACUUGAGCAUAAAAUAUCUGUUAAUAAACACUGGAACUGAUGCAUAAAAUUUUAUAAUGUAAAUAAAACUGAAAAUACGAUGAGAACUCGUGGAACUCACGGUCGUAAUAUUCGUGGGCGCGGCGGGCGCCGUAGGGGGCUUAAGCUGAGUUUUCCUCUUUAAGCAGUAUGCCGAAUUUAAAUAUGAGUGAGACACCAGUUUCACUUGUUACUGAGACUAGGUCUCAAAGCCGCACAGUUGGGGACGACACACUAUCCCAAGCCAUGUUAAGGGUGUUGGAAAGGGUUGUUGGACCUUAUUUUAGAUUUAGGGGCCAUUGGUCGGUAACUGAAUGACUCCAGUUCAGUGGAGCUGAAUUGUUUAGGGGUGUCACUGGAGUCGCCCCUACUGUGACUAAGUAUUGGUUGGUGGCCACUGAGAGGAUUAUGAAAGACAUCGACAACACUCCUAAGCAGAAAUUGAAGGGUGCAAUUUCUUUGCGUCAUAAUGAGGUGUAUCAGUGGUGGUUAUCGGUAGAGAAGGGUACUCAACCGGAUCGUCUGAACUGAAACUACUUUAAGACUGCCUUCUAGGAAAAAUAUGUGGGCGCGAGCUAUGUUGAUGCUCAUUGGCAUGAGUUCAUGAAUCUCACGCAAGGUAAUAAGGCUGUGGCCGAGUAUAAGGCCGAGUAUGAUGAAUGUGUCCAUUUUGAGGAUGGUUUGAGAGAUAGUUUAAGCGUCUAAUUGCUCUGUAGAGGGAGCGUGAGUUUGUUAUUUUGGUAGAUAAUGCGAAGAUCACUGAAGAGGUUAAGCGCGUGGAGCGCCAAAACAAAGACCAAGAGAAGGGAAAUAAUAAGAAGGAUUUGGAGCCCUCUAGUUCUGUUCAAAGGCCUAAGAAACGGGCCAGACCUGAUGUGCCUAUUAGAGUGGGAGUUCCUGUUGCUCCUACUUGGAUUCAGCCUUGUAGUGAUUGUGGUAGGCGCCAUCCGAGCGAGGGUUGGAGGAGAUUAGUGGCUUGUUUGCGGUGUAGGUCAUUAAAGCACCAAAUUAGAGAGUGUCCACAUCGUGUGGAUCAGAUGCAAGCUUUGGGACCGAGUUCUACUCAGCCUUAGUGAGUAAUACAGCAGCCACCUAGGGUCCGUGGGCUGGCUGGGGGUGGUAAUGGUAUGGGCCAAGGACAGAGCACCGGGAAAAGUGCUAAUCAGACUGAGGCGAGGCAACCUGCACUGGUUUAUACUGCUCGACACCGAGAGGACAGAGAUGCCCCUAAUGUGAUCAUGGGUACAUUCUUUAAUUUGAUGCUCCAUAUACUGCUUUGAUAGACGUAGGUUCUACACACUCCUAUGUAGCUAGUUUUGUUUUCGAGAACUUAGGGAUUUCUAUUGAGUGUACUUCUGGUGAGAUUACUGUACUAAGUAUGUUGGGGAAAUCUGUUCGGGUUAGUAGACUAUAUAGGAAUGUUCCAUUAGGGGUACAAGGGGUUGUGUUUCCGGCAAAUUUGAUGGAGCUACCGUUUGGGGAGUUCGACUUAAUUCUAGGUAUGAAUUGGUUAGUUGAGCACCGAGUUAGCUUGAAUUGCACGACUAAGAGGGUCGUUCUAAAGACCGAGGAUGAUAAGGAGGUUGUCGUAAUUGUCGAGCGUCGAGAUUACCUGUCUAAUGUAAUCUCCGCUCUAGUGGCUGAGAAAUUGGUUCAAAAAGGGUGUGAGGCGUAUUUGGCUUAUGUCAAUAUUUUAGUUUUUCUUGGGGCUUUUCUGUUGAGGAUAUGAGAACAGUGAGGAAAUUUUUGGAUUUUUUCCUGAAGAGUUGCUGGGUUUACCUUCGAAUCAGGAAGUUGAGUUCGGCAUUGAGCUUCUACCGGAUACAGCACCGGUGUCUAUUGCUCCAUUAUUUUGGAUCAAUUAUUUUGGAUACAUCAUUUAAUGCUAUAAUAAAAAUAAGAAAACUAAAUUGACUUGAGAGUGAUUUUAUGAAUCGACUUGUAUAAAUACAACAUUUAUAAAAAAUAUAAACAAUUGGGUUCGGAUUUUAAAAAGUUUUCAUGUAAACCUUUUUAAACAAAUUAUUUAAAUUUAAAUUUUAAAAAAAUUAUUUCAAUACUUUUGUUAACUCAUAAAUAAUAUGUAAAAUUAUAUAGAAAUUAAACUGUUCAUAAAAAUUUAAAUUUAAAUAAAUCGACACGAAAAUUCCAAACUUCAAACAUAAAUAAUCGAAAAUCUCAAGAUAUAAUGACUAUGAUUUGAAGUAAAAUUAGGUAGAUGCACCUAGUUUUCUCUUUGUUUCUCUAUUCGGUUUUCAUUAUUUAUUUUAAAACAAAUAUAUUGAUAAUUUGAAAUAAUUAAUAAUUACAAGCAAGUGAAGGUACCUUAGAAGCAAUUUUUUCAUUUACAUAUAACUGGGAAAACUUUGAAUUAAAUUAAAUAACUAUAUCAACUAUGAUCUGAAAAACUUUAAAAAAGAAUUUACACAUUUAAAUGAGACGAUAUUCGAAUUAGAAAUCUCAAAAUUUUUAAGAAUUCAAUGAAGACUAUUGAUUAUUACUAAAUUAUAGUACAUCCACUUUGUGGAUGAAAAAAAAUUUAUUAAAAAAUAUAUUUACCAAAUAAAACUUUGAUUAAAAUGAUAAUAUUGAAUGUUUAAAAUCAUAAUAUAUUAGAUUCAAUUCGUCGUCACAUAUGAAAUUUAUUGAUUCUGUACUGCUAGAUGAAUUUUGAACAACAAAUGGAGUGCUACCAAUUUUGCAAAUUAGAAAUCAAUUAAAAUUCAUAAAAACAAUUUUUGGUUUGGGAAAUUAAAAGUUUAUUAGAAAGUAGUAUUAUGCAUGAAAAAGAUAUACCUUUUAUUCAUGUUUAUUUGAAGUGAGAUUUCACCGUAUGCAAACAAGAGAGUUACAAUACAAGGUAUAUACUAUACCAGCAGAUCCUCUCGCUCUAUUCUCUUCUUCUUCUUCUGCUUCUUCCACCUCCUCUCUUGUAAGCUUCUUUUCUUAAAAUGCUUCACUGUUCUCUUCGCUGCUCUCUUUUUUCUUCUCUUCCUUUGGAAAACGAGGCCACCCUUAAAUGUUAAUAACAUUGUCAAAUAACAUAAAAGCCAACAUUAAAAAUUUAUAGUCAAAACCCAAGUUAAGGUCAAAAAUUAAAAUCGAGCUAUGAAAGUGUAGCAAGAUUCAACUUGGAUUUUUCAAAAUUAAACUUAACACUAGAAACCUGAUUACCUGCGAUAGUGAGUUUAAAAUUGAGCUUAGCCUGAAUAAAAAUAAGUUAUAAUAGUAUAAAUAAUAAUUUUUUAAUUACUAUUCAAUUGAAUUGAUAUUUGAUUAAUUUAUGAUAUCAAUUCAAUGAAAUAGAAAAUAUAAAUUUAUCUUAUUUGAUGAUUCAUGAAUUAAAUGCAUAUUUAAUUUAAAUGUUCUAAGUUAAACUUCAUCUCGCAUUUGAUAAUUUUAGUAAUAAAAAAUAGGGAUAAAUCUAAAAAUUAUACAUGAAGUUUGAUUUAAUGUGUAAUUGUAUACAUGAACAUUAAUUUGGUGGAAUUAUACGCGUGAAAAUCUAAUUGUGGUUCAAAUAUAUACUUGAAACUUUAAUUUUGAUUUAACCAUACACAUUUAAAGAAAUAAAUACAUCAGUUUAUUUUUAUAUUGGAUAAAUGUAAUUAUUUAUGCAUGCAAUAUAUAAACAUAAAAUGAUGUAAUAUCAAUAAUUGUGUUAAUAAUUUAAAAGAAUUGGAUCAAAUCAAAAUUUCAUGUAUAAAAUUACACAAAAUCAAAGUUCAUGUAUACAAUUGCAUAUUAAACCAUAGUUCACGUAUAGUUUUGGGAUUUAUCCCUUAAAAUUAAAUUUUCGAUAAUUUCAAACAUAAAAAAUUUUAUCGGCAUACUUUUAUCAUUUUCGUCACUGCCGAUAGUGACUAAAAUGAUAAAAGUAUGUAACAAUAGUGCCCAUAUUGCAAUCUUUUCAUUUUGGGCACUGAAAAUAAAAAGACUACAAUAUGGGCACUGUUUCAAUGCACAAAAUAAAAAUUUAUGAAAGUUGGAUGACUAAAUGUGUAGUUUAGUCAAAAAUUUUAAAAUAUAUUUUUGAAAAUAGUUAUUUGAUAAUUGAUUGGUGCCAAAUCCACCAAAAAUAAUAUUCCUACGCCUAAACAAUAUAUAAACAUCAGUAUAAGGAGUAGGGUCGAUCCCACAGAGAUUGAACAUCUAAAAUUAUUUUUCGAUUUAGCUAAGUUGAGUGUCAAGCACGACAUGUGAUGAUCUGUACAAAAAUAAAAAAAAAGGGAAUUAAAUCUGAUUAAAAUAAAAUUAAUAGAAAUACUUAAAAUCGAAAUAAAAGUAAAAUAAAUAAAAAAAAUAGAUUGAAUAUACCAAUGUGAAAAUAUUCUAGCUUCAAGCUCAAUUUCGGCUCUAGUUUCAAGCUGAUCUUUGAUAACACAUCUUCUCCUUCAAUCGUUAAAUCCGUUAUAGUAAUCGAGGACACCUCAUACCACCAUUCUUUCCGUGUGUAAAUUAAUUAUGGGAACACCCAAAAACUAACCCUUACCGAACGAAUAACCACAAAACACGUGUCCAUGAUUUAGCUCUUCGAUAGCCUUGUGAACUAGAAGAGCCCAAAAAUAAUCAACAACCUUAAAUGUGUGUGUCAUUUAAAUUCGAUUGUUAUUUCUCUUGACGGAUCCAACCAACCACUUAAUUGGACACGCCAAUGUGUUCUUCAAUAGAUCGAAUACGAUAACAGAUUAUAUCGAUUCUUCAAAUUGUAUGUCUAUCAACACCAAAUCAACAAACUAUUUUUUACCUGGUGUCACUAUAACUUUAUGAGACGGCAAUGUCUAUUCCUGAAACAAGAGAAAUAAUAAAUACCAAAAUAAAUGUUUUUUAAGUACGAUUUUGAAUCUCAUGGUUUUCUCCCGAAUUGACUAUCACCUUAAAGCUAAAUGGGAAAUUUAGCUAUUAAGAAAUUGUAACACCACAAAAUAUAUAGGGUUAAUUAAUCAAGAAAUGUCCUUGGUUUGAUGGUUAAAAAGUUAGCACUUUCCUAAUGGUCCUAGGUUUUAUCCACAUCUCAUGUAACGCCCCAGAAUUUUUAUUUUUGUUCUUGCGAAAGUGUGCCACAACUGUGUAUUUGCUUCAGUGGUUAAGUGUUCUGGGUGUGUGAGAGGUCCCAAGUUCAAGCCAGGACUUGGGAAAAUUUUGGUAUUUUUAUGAAUAAGCCCUAUCUUUGGUCAGUAGGCUUUUAAGUAAAAGUUGAAAAAUAUUAUUAGAAUGGGCUUGCUGGUUUGGUGGCUAAGUUAUGUGUUGGUAGGUGGGAGAUCUGGAGUUCAAGUACUUGCACGAGCAAGGGAAUUAUUUUUUUUAUUGCUUGGCCGUGUGGCGUGGUGGAGUCCUAGUCAAAUUGAAAUUUCGAGUAGUGGAGUUGCUGUGGAAGGUUAGGGAGAGAACUAAGGAGAUGAGUUACCAGAUUUUUUAGGCAUUAUCUUUUUGUUUACUUUUUUUUUUCAAAUUUAGAACUCUUUUCCACCUUUCUAACAUUUUCUCUCUUCUCCCCCACUCUCAAUUUUCAGUUUUCCUCUUUUUUUCUAAAUAAUAAAUCAUUGUUGUUGAACUUCCUUUGAAUUCCCCUUUCGUUUUCGUUGUCUUUCUUCAUCUUUUCCCCUUUGUGCAAGUGUGCAAUUGUGUUGUACGGUAAGUUUCCAUUUUAUUAAACUCGAAUGUUACUCUGGAUAAGGGAUUAAGGGGUGUUUUGUUGACUGUUUAGGAGUCGAUUGUACGGCUGGAAUUAACUUUCAUCGAUUUGACUCGAAGGGGUGAUCGUUUGGUAUGCGUAUAGGGUAUGUGUUUUCUUGUGUUGUUUGGCCGAGUGGUUUUGGCUUUGAAUUCAUUCUUAACUUUGUUGAACUCUUCAUUAAUGAGGAAUGGUUAUUUUUACAGCAGCGAAUCAUUUCGGUUGCUAUCUCCCUCGUGUUGAGUAGUUGUGGAAUUGUGCGAAGUUAGAAAGCUUUUUGUGAUCUCGGGAUUGCGUAAGCAGCGAAAACGGUACAGGUGUGUACCCGAAAGGCAGAAAAUGAGAUUCAGCGAAAAGCCAAAAUUGCUUGCUGUCGAGAAAUAAGAGAAAAUGAUGCGAAAAAUUGUAGAGAAAGGAAAUAAGGGUGUUAUAAUCUUGGAAAUCGACAUUUUGCACUAAAAUAGUUUUGGACUGCAGCAGUAAUCUAACUUUGAAAAAAUCAUCCAAAAUAGUGAAAAUUGAGUUAGAGGUUGAAUAAAAUAUGAAAUUAAAUUUUGUUGAGUCUAGUUUUUCAUGGAAGAAACAAUGUAAGCAAUAAAGUUGUAAGUUAUGAGAUAUAACGAAUUUUGUGAGACAAGGUCAGAAUGGUUUCGGGUUCCCCUGUUCUGACAUUGGAAAAAUAUCGAAAAUUGUAAAAAAAAUAAUUAGGGGCUUAAAUUUAUAUUUUUAAAUCCUUAACAAGUCUAUUUUCAAGAGAAACAAACAGAAACAUCAUCCGAAUUUCGUACUAAGAGAUAAAUAAUUUUAGUAAGGAAAGAUUGAAGCUGUCAAAUAGUAGAAUCGGGAUAGAUUUGAAGAUUUUACUGUACUUAUUUGAUAAACUAUAAAAUCUAAAAAUUUUAUGGUAGAAAAAUAUUUGAGUCUAGUUUCGAAAACAUCAAGCGGAUCUUAAUUUAGAAUUCUGUAGCUCAAGAUAUAAAUAAUUUAGUGACAAUGACUCAAGUAGACAGCUUUGAAUGAACAUAUAAGUAAAUAGUGAAAACAUAUAUGAAUAUUUAGCUAGCAUGGGUUACAUUAAAAAUGGAUCACACGACCAAGACCAAUUUGGGUCGAGUGGGCUACACGGGCACACACGGGCGUGUGGGCCCAUUUUUACUGGAAUGUUUCUAAGGUUGCACGAGUCGCCCAAGUCGACUGUGAACCUAUUAUAAGGUCGGUUAGCGCUACUUAGACCCCUAAAUGUGUGAAAUUGACUGAAUGAUAUUUGUACUGAGCAUGUUAAUAUCUGAACUGAAUAUAUGUGCUGAAAUUGCAUAAUAGCAUAUCAUCCAUGGUAUGUUGCAUUGCAUUGGGUUAGAGGUUGUUAUUCGGAGGAAGUGUACUAAAAGGCUUUAAGCCUAAUUUACUGGCAGCUCAGCUGCAAACUACUGUUUUGUGCUGCAUUCGAUACUAAUUGGAGUGUAGGGAUGGGUCGGUUGAUUAUAUCCCCACAUGGAGUGUAGGGUUGGACGGAGAUGGUAUGUAGAGGCUGGAUGGGUAGGAUUUUGCUACUGCAUAAUUGUUACUGCUACUGAUACUGUGAUGGGCUAAGGCCCUACUGCAUUUUUGACACUGUACUGAGAUGGGCUAAGGCCCAAACUGUCACUGAUACUGAAAAGGGCUUAGGCCCAAGACUGUUCAACUGUGCACUAUGAUUACUGAUUGCUUGUUUAUUUCUGCGGGAUUACACACUGAGUUUACGUAAACUUACCCUUUUUGUUUAAUGUGCACAGGUAAUCCCCAGACUUAGAUGGAUCGGUGCGACGGAGGACUCAGCGGUGACCACAGAAAUUUUUGGACUUCAUGGUUUUCAAUUUACGUUUUAUGAUUUAAUUAUUAUUGAUUAGUUGGGUUGUAAUUUAAGGACCCUCUGGGACUUUGGUUUUAAAUUUUGGGUUUUUAUUUAUUUAUUUUACUUUAUGGAUUUGUACCUGCUGGUCAUAGGAAAUUCGGUUUUCAAAAAGUUAAAGUAUUUUCUAAACGUAUGAUCACUUAGACUGUUUUAUUAAAGCUUUUGUAACGAGGGAUGUUUCAAAACAAAUGUUUUAAAUGAAUAAAGGCGACUUCCUAAGUUCUAACAAAGGUUUACUAAAGAUAAUAACAUGGAAUGUUUUCAUCGUAACAACGAGGUUUCAAAAACACUAUCGUGUGACAUUACCAGAUACGACCAUAAUGUCUAGGCUGGGUUUAGGGUAUUACAUCUCACCCAUAUUUUUCUUUUCAUUUUCAGCAAACUAGAAUGAAAAUCUCCAUAGAAUAUAUAUUAAAUGGAGUAAAAAAUGAUCAAGUGUGGGUAGUAGCUCAAUGGUUAAGCAUCAUUCCUUUCUCCCUUGAAUCCCAAGUAUAAGUCACACCACUCACCCUAUUUCAUUUUUUAUUUUCGGCAAGAAGGGUUAAUUACCCAUCCAAACAGUACCUAAAAAUUUGAAAACCCUAGCUAUUUAAACCAUUAUCCUAACUAGGCUAGGAUUUUGUUUCCUUCUCCAAUUCUCCUAGAACUUUACUUCCAUCUUUUCUAUUUCUUCCCUCUUUCUUUUCUUUGCUUUUCUUUUCAUCAAAAUUUUGUUCCAUUGCUGAAAAUCGUUCUUGAUUACCCAAAAUCGAAAUCUAUUCUCGAUUUUAACUCACUUUUCAACUAGAUUCGUAAUCGCAAUUCGAAACAUUCUCCGAUCGUUGCCAAGAAUCAGUAAGAACAUUCUAAUCCCAAAGUUUAGAUCUUAAAUUCCUGUAGACUUUUUAUUCAUGUUAAUUUUAAGAUUGAUCAAAUGAUCUUUUACGAAUCUUGUCAAUAUUUCCCAGUAAUCUUGAUAAAUCUUGAAUAUCGUUAUUAAUUCUUACUUAAAUGCCAUUUGAAGGACUUGAUCUAGGUACCUCGAAUUAGAUUCAGGCGCAAGGAACGUCGUUUGAGAUCUCGAAGUCAAGUGUAUGUUCUUUUACAAGUGAAUCGAUGCAAAAUCAUGCCUAAGAUAGUGCCACACAGGCGCGUGGGCCACCGGUGUGGACCACACGGCCCCCUCACAUGACCAUGUCCCCCUGAAACCCUAGGUUAUUUCGACCCUCACACGGCCUAGGACCCUCCACACGGUCGUGUCUCCCUUAUAGGUUGAUUUUUCAAAUGCCACAAGGCCACAGUCUGUCACACGACCUAGCCACAUUGUCGUGUACUCCUUCCACACAGUCUAGGGCUUUCCACAUGGUCGUGUGUCCCCUGUACCUUAGAUUUUACAAUUUUGACCAAGAAUUUUAUGUUUUGUUUAGUUUAGUCCCUGAAUGAUUUUCGAACUAUUUAUAGUGCUUCAAAUUAUUCAAUUAAGCCCUGAUGAUAUGAAUUAUGUUAGAAUCCAUGAUUUGAUGAAUUGAUUUAGUAUGAUAUUUAUAUAUAUAAACAUGAAUUGUGAACAUUAUAUAUAUGUAUAUUAUUUUAGGGUUUGUAAUCGUAUGUAUGGUAUGCCUUAUGUCAGUGUCAAACCAAGCACACAAAAAGCAUGAUUUUUACUAAUAAAUUAAUCUGUCACAAGCAUGUUCAUUGCUACUGAACCAAACCAUUAUAAGAAUACUGAUUGCUAUUGUAUUGUUUGUUAAAAGCAUAAUUUAAUGUUAUUUUAUUAAUCUGACGAACAUGUCAUAUUGCUUUGCAUGGGAUGGGAUGUUAUGAAUGGAGGAAGUAUUUGCAGUAUAUCUGCAUUUAUUUUUUUGUGAACCCACAGCCAUAGGCAAAUUCCAUCUACGACGGUUUGUUGUGUACCCACAACCAUAGGCAGAUUCCAUCUGCAAUGUUUUUGCUGUGCAUCCAUAACCCUUUGACAGUAAUCAUUUGCAAGCAUGUUUUGCAUCCAUGGCCAUUGGCAGAUUUUACCUGCACUAUUUUGUGUCCACAGCCAUUGGCAGUAAAAUUGCAAUCUAUUGGUAGUUAAUCCAUAAUUUGGUGUGUUAGCGGUUGGAGUUUUGGAUAACUCUAAUCGUGGUGUGUAGCGGUGGAGUAGGAUCUUUUCUAUUAAAACUGAUACCGUAUGGCAUCUAUAAAAGCAUCUGCAUGCAAACCUAGAAUUUCUGGUAAGAUAUAUUUAUAUCUAAAUAUAUGAAUGAGUUAUCUGUGAAAUCAAUAUUCUGAUAUUGCUAUUGUAAAUUAUAUAAGCUAAUGAUGGCUAAAUUGAAAAUGGAUAUUUUGAACUGCUACUUAAUUGCGAUUAUUUUAUGCAUUAUUAUUUAAUAUGCCUUACCGACUAUUGUGCUAAUUUUAUUGUGAUGGAACUCAAAGUGAGCGUCAUAGCUCAGUCCCCCUUUAAUUUUCAUCCUUAUAGAUAACUCACCAGGUUAGGGCGCGGACAUGGCAUCCGGAGGGUCUCGGCUCAGUUUUGUUAAAAUAUUUUUAGAUAUAUUAUUUGAAAUUUCAUUAUUUAGAGAUUGUAUUAUUGUUUUAUUUGAAUUGUGGCAUGGGGUUUAUGAUUUGAGUUUGUUUUUAUUUUGCAUAACACUUGAUUUAAAUUUUUAGGACAUCAUGUUACGAUUAUUAACUAGUAUGCAUGAACCCCGAUUUUUAUUAAAAAUAAAUAGACAUUACUUUUCCGUUGCUAAAUCAUAAUUAAAAUUUUGAGGAUUAAUAAAUCGGUUUGUAUCUAAAUUUCCUACCAAAAUAAACAAAUGUUUUAAAAUGACCGUUUUCAAAACUUCGAUAGCUUAUUGAGCCACUUUAGUAGAUAAUAUAAUCUUUCGAAUUCAGAUCUAACGUCUAGGUCUGGUUAAAGAUGUUACAUAAACAUAUUCAUAUAAAGGUUUUCAACAAAGUUAAAAAUAAUAAUAAUAAAAGAAAGCAAUAAAUAUUAAAACCCACCCAACCAACCGGAACACCACUCCGACCACCCUGCACACCACAAUUGGGCUAUGGUAGGCCGAUCCACCCUACACACCACAAUAGUGCGUAUAAGCCACUCAAAAGGAAAUAUGCAACUGAGCUGACAUAUAUAUAAUAAUGCAGUAAAAUUGCUGUACAGAAUAUUACAGAUAAACUGAUCAAAUCAAACUUUCUUCUCUUCACAACCAAAACCCCAAAUUAUUUAUGAAAAUGUAAAAAUGCACACAACAUGCAGGUAAACAUAUAAUUAACAAACAGAAUAUUACAGAUGAUGACUGAAUACUGAAUUUGAACUUGUAAUUUUUGAAUUUAAAAUCAACACAUAAUUAAUAAGAUAUUAUUUUUUGGGCAUUGUGAAGGUGUUAAUACCUUCAUCGCAUGUAAUUGAUUCCCGAACUCGAAUUUUCUUUGAUUUUCAAAUAACAAACCAACUAAUUAUAUUUUUAAAAGGCGAUUUUAUAGGUACCUGAUCACACCUAGUUAAAAGAUUUGUGACGAAUCUUAUGUUCUAAAUAAAAACCCAAUGUUUUAAAAUUUUAAAUUUUUCAUAUUUUUCUCAAAAUUUGUCAAGCUAGCUUUGUUCAUAAAAAUGGCAUUGAAAUUAGUCAUCCAACUUUUAGUAUUUUUUGAGUCACCCAACUAUGGAACUUUACAAAAAAUGACCAUCCAACUAUUCAGCCUUUUUCUUUUUUGUCACACAACUAUAUGAAUUUUUCUUUUUUGGUCUCCGGCCAUUAAUUUGCUAAUAGAAAGAUAACUUGACAAUUUUUAAAAUUGGCAUAAUAACAACUUUAACCCUCAACAUUUAUGCAUUGUAUUAAUUUAGUCUUGAUUUCAAAAAAAAUAACUAUCAACAUUUACAUAUUAUAUAAUUUGGUCUCUCUCUCUCUCUCUCUCUCUCUCUCUCUCUCUUACUUCUUACUUUACUUUCUUUACCUUUAAUUUUCCGUUUACNNNNNNNNNNNNNNNNNNNNNNNNNNNNNNNNNNNNNNNNNNNNNNNNNNNNNNNNNNNNNNNNNNNNNNNNNNNNNNNNNNNNNNNNNNNNNNNNNNNNNNNNNNNNNNNNNNNNNNNNNNNNNNNNNNNNNNNNNNNNNNNNNNNNNNNNNNNNNNNNNNNNNNNNNNNNNNNNNNNNNNNNNNNNNNNNNNNNNNNNNNNNNNNNNNNNNNNNNNNNNNNNNNNNNNNNNNNNNNNNNNNNNNNNNNNNNNNNNNNNNNNNNNNNNNNNNNNNNNNNNNNNNNNNNNNNNNNNNNNNNNNNNNNNNNNNNNNNNNNNNNNNNNNNNNNNNNNNNNNNNNNNNNNNNNNNNNNNNNNNNNNNNNNNNNNNNNNNNNNNNNNNNNNNNNNNNNNNNNNNNNNNNNNNNNNNNNNNNNNNNNNNNNNNNNNNNNNNNNNNNNNNNNNNNNNNNNNNNNNNNNNNNNNNNNNNNNNNNNNNNNNNNNNNNNNNNNNNNNNNNNNNNNNNNNNNNNNNNNNNNNNNNNNNNNNNNNNNNNNNNNNNNNNNNNNNNNNNNNNNNNNNNNNNNNNNNNNNNNNNNNNNNNNNNNNNNNNNNNNNNNNNNNNNNNNNNNNNNNNNNNNNNNNNNNNNNNNNNNNNNNNNNNNNNNNNNNNNNNNNNNNNNNNNNNNNNNNNNNNNNNNNNNNNNNNNNNNNNNNNNNNNNNNNNNNNNNNNNNNNNNNNNNNNNNNNNNNNNNNNNNNNNNNNNNNNNNNNNNNNNNNNNNNNNNNNNNNNNNNNNNNNNNNNNNNNNNNNNNNNNNNNNNNNNNNNNNNNNNNNNNNNNNNNNNNNNNNNNNNNNNNNNNNNNNNNNNNNNNNNNNNNNNNNNNNNNNNNNNNNNNNNNNNNNNNNNNNNNNNNNNNNNNNNNNNNNNNNNNNNNNNNNNNNNNNNNNNNNNNNNNNNNNNNNNNNNNNNNNNNNNNNNNNNNNNNNNNNNNNNNNNNNNNNNNNNNNNNNNNNNNNNNNNNNNNNNNNNNNNNNNNNNNNNNNNNNNNNNNNNNNNNNNNNNNNNNNNNNNNNNNNNNNNNNNNNNNNNNNNNNNNNNNNNNNNNNNNNNNNNNNNNNNNNNNNNNNNNNNNNNNNNNNNNNNNNNNNNNNNNNNNNNNNNNNNNNNNNNNNNNNNNNNNNNNNNNNNNNNNNNNNNNNNNNNNNNNNNNNNNNNNNNNNNNNNNNNNNNNNNNNNNNNNNNNNNNNNNNNNNNNNNNNNNNNNNNNNNNNNNNNNNNNNNNNNNNNNNNNNNNNNNNNNNNNNNNNNNNNNNNNNNNNNNNNNNNNNNNNNNNNNNNNNNNNNNNNNNNNNNNNNNNNNNNNNNNNNNNNNNNNNNNNNNNNNNNNNNNNNNNNNNNNNNNNNNNNNNNNNNNNNNNNNNNNNNNNNNNNNNNNNUAUGCACUAGAUAGACUAUCGAGGGCAUUAAAUGACGAACAAUGAAAAUAAAAGGAUAAAUUACAUCAUUAGUCCCUAAACUAUAAGUAAGUUUUCAUUUUAGUCGCUUAACUAAAAAAGUUACAAUUUGAUCACUAAACUAUUCAAAAGUUAUCAUUUAAGUCAUUGAGCUGUUAAAAUCAAAGUUAUAUGGCUAAACAGGAUGUAUUGAACUCAUAAUUCAUUAGAUACUUUUUAUGAAUGUCAACUAAGUAUCGUAAGUAAAUUGGUCUAGGUUGUUCAAUCAUUUGAUAACCAGAGUCAUUCUUUGAUAAAUGAUCACUAUGAGUCAGACUCAAUAGAAUUUGAUCAAUCCUUUUUUCUGUCGUUAAGGUGGAGAACUGAACCAAGAAUUCUCUUCCUUUAUCAUCAAUCAAAUCACUGUUCGCGACCUAGGAUUCUAUUUUCUCAUCAAUCCAAUCAGCGCUCACUUUUUUCUUUCUCUUAUCAAUGAAUAGAUCUCGCUGCCUGCACCAAUUGAAACCUCUCUUUCCCUUUCUUUUCUACAGUUCAUUUUUUUAUGAAAUAGCUUUGAACGUCAUAAAUUUGCAAUUCAAAAUUCAAAAAGCUUUUUUCUCUAAUCUCCGACAUUGACCAUCAAAUCAACUUGGAUCUAAGAUAUGUUCUUCUACUCAUCAAUAGUUAUUGAUUCAGUGUACCGAUUGUCAAAUCAUUGCUUUGAGCUUUCUUGCGAAACUUCUAAAAAAAAAUAAUAGCGUAGUAACUUAAUAAAAUUUUUUGAAUACUUCAUUGACUUAAAUAAAAAUUUUCUAAUGAUUCAAUGAUCAAAUUAUAAUUUUUUUAGUUAAGUGAUCAAAACGAAGAUUUACCUACGAAAAGAACAACUCAAAAACCGAUAUGCCCUCCGUUUAUAUUUUUAUUUUAAGGUUGUAUCCUUUUGACUUAAGAAAAACAAUAGAAGCUAAAAGGUUGCAAUGAUUUUAGCAUGUUAUAGAUAACUAUAAUGCUUUGGAAAAUAUUAAUUUUUAAUUUCAUAAUAAAUAAUAUAUAGAUGUGCAGUAAACAAGAAGUUUUUACAAUAAUACAUUGCUUUCACUAAAGUCAAGUGAAUACAGUAUAUUAACAUUGUUUAUUCUAUUUGUAAUCUUUCAAUUUUUAUUAAUUUAAUCAAAACAAUAAAUAAUCGAUUAUGAUUUUUAUAAUUAAAUAUCCUUACCAGUCUUUUUAAGCUGUUAUUAUUAUAUUAUUACUUUAAACGUGCAUUGAAACUAAAUAAAAAUACGAAUAUUAUAUAAUUUUUUUUGACUGAUCCAAGAUGAAAUUUAAUAAAAUCUAUUUGUUGUAUAUUUAUUAUCGAUAAACAUUGGUCUUCGUACGUCUCCUUUAGAAUAUUUACACUUAAUUCACAUAAAUAUAAAAUAUGAAUAUAAUUGUUUAAAUUCUUUUGUUUGGAAAGGAAUAAAUAUAUAAUUUCUUAAGCUUGGCGGCAAUAUCUAAUACGAAAUCCUUGAAAAGAAUCUUGUUUGAUUGCUAGGUUUGCCUUUGAAUAUGGAAAUUAAGUAAUUUUGAAAAAAAUGUUCUUCCUCACAAUUUUAAAAAAUAUAUAUAGUAAUUUUGAAAGGUAUAAUAAUUUUACGUGUUCCUAGUGAAUAUAUUAUUAAAAAUUAAAUGAAUUUUUUUUAAUUUUAUAUUAUUAUCUGAUUUACUGAUAGUGUCAAUGCAUCAUAUAUAAAUCCAUUGAAUUCAAGUUCUAUACAUUUAUAUUAGCUAUUAUUAUUGGCUUAUUGGUACUAUAAAUUUUUGAAUUAUUUUUAAAUGAUUGACUAAGUCCAUUUGAACCUUUUAUAUCCACUUGAGUCUUUAAACUGACAAUUUUGACCAACGAGAUUUUUUUACCAACGUUGAUCAUUAGAAACCAACACCAACAUUGAUGUGGUCAUUAAUGGAUAUCACAUUAAUCAACAAAUGCUGAUGGGGUGAUCCGCAUCAAUAAAAAUUAAAAAUAUUUUAAAAUUAUUGUAAAAAAAUGUACACAAUAAACUUAAAUAAAUAGUUGUCCAGGUUCAUUUGAAUGUAGAUAUUCAGAUGUCCAUAUUCAUCAUGGAAUUAUAAAAAGAAACAAAAAAAAUUAUAAAGAAUAAUUAAAAUUAUAAAAAAUAAUAAAAUUAUUAUAAAUUAAUUAAAAAUCAUAAAAUUUUAUAAAAUAAAUUAAAACAAAGCUUUUUAUUAUAAAUUUUUAUAAAGUCCAUUAGGUUGAAUAAAAGCUUUUAAUUAAAAUCCAUUUGGACUUUUUUAAAAGUUUCUAAAGAUUUUAUUUAAAAACAUUAAAAUUAUUAUAGUUUCUAAAAAUAUUUUUAUUUACAAUCCAUUUGGUUUUAAUAAUCCAUAAACAAUUACAAAAAAAAAACUUUUAUAUAAAUAUAAUUUGGUUUUUAAUUUUAUACGUUUUAAUAAUUUUUAAUAAUUUAAAAAAAACUUUUAAAAAAUAAUUUUAAUAAUUUUAUAAUAAUUUUAUAAAAUUUAAUAAUUUUGUUAUAAUUUUUUUAUUUUUUUAUAAUUUCGAAAUGAAUAUUGAAAAAUGUGGGUCCAUAUUCAAAUGAGCAUGGACAAUCAUUUGUCCAGCAUGAUUGUACAUUUUUUAAAAAUAAUUUUAAAAUAAUUUUUUAUUUUUUUUAUUUUUACUGAUGUGGCACUGUCAAGUUAGCAUUUGUUGGCUAAUGUGGCAUUUGUUAACAAUCAUAUUAGUGUUGCUAUUAGUUUCUAACGAUUAAUAUUGGUCAAAUGGCCUUGUUGGUCAAAAUUAUCAAUUCAAUGAUUCAAUUGAGUAGAAAAGAUUUGGAGGGGUUUACUUGAUUUUUGAAAGAAGUUUGAAUGCUUAAUAAGCCUAUAUUAUCUUCAAUCGAUUAAUUCUAUCAAUCAUCUCUAAACUAUUGCCAAUAUCAUAAUGUCAAAUUUAACCGCAACAUUUACAUCUUUCAUCAAUUUGGUUUUUUUGUUUGUUUAUAUUUUAGUUAAAUUUGGCCCUUAAUCUUUUAAAAAAGAGUUAAAUCAUUUUUUAUAGAAAAUCCUGACUAAAACAUUAAAUUUUUUUUAACGAAGAUGGCAUGGCAGCUCGUGUGGCAAUCCACGUGUACUUCAUUUUCACAUAACACUAUUUAUUAUAUGCCACACCAAAAUAUAAUUUAAAAAUUAAAAAAUAAAAAAAAUUUAUAAAAAUUCAAAAAAAAAGUAUGAAGUACAUGUGGAUUGGUAUGUGAGCUACCGUGUUUAAAAAUUUAACGGUUAAUUUUCAUUAAAAAAUAGCAAUUCAACAAUUUUUGAAAGGUUUAAUUUAAAUAUGACAUUUUUUUUUUGAAAGGUUGAUGACCAAAUUUAGCUAAAAAAAAGGGAUCAAAUUGACAAAAAAAAUUGUAAAUGUAAGGACUAAAUUUGUGUUAUGCCCAUUCUUAAUUAGUUUAAAACUUCAAAAUAUGUUAAUUGAAUCUUUAAAAUAUCAACAUUGUAUCAAAUAGGUUUUCUAUCAAUGUCGUAGUUAAUCUAAUUGUUAAAUGUGAAUCAAGAUAUGAUAUGCGGCAUGCUUAAAAGCAAACGGAUUAAACUGUAAACUCAUGUGUAUCUACCACAUAAAAAAUUUAGGUUUGACGUAUUUAAAAAUCGAUGUCAAUAAAAUGUUAUCUAUGCUGUAGAUAUAUGCGUCUUUACAAUUUGAUCUACGUAUUUCAAAUACACUUCAACUCAAACCUGAGUUGGCAUUUAAUGCCUCAACUAAUUGUUAACAUAAUAGAAAGACUUGAUUGAUAUGAUACUAAUACUUUGAGGACUGAAUUAAAACAUUUUUAAAAUUUGGAAUUGAAUUGAAAAUAUGCAUAAUUUGAGAACAUUACGUCAUAGUUUAAAGUGUUUAUGGUAAAUUAGUGAAUGGUAAACCUGACAUGCUUUAUUAUAAUAGUAAACAUUAACUUCUCUUUACUCAGUUUAAUUGUGGGAUUGUAAUUAUCAUUUAUUUACAACUGAUUAAUUUUCAUAAUUACAUGCUAUUUUGGAGGGAUUUACCAAAAAAAGCCAAUUUUUUUAUAAAAUUACCGAAAUAGGCCGGUUUUUUAAUUAUUUACCGGACUGGGCCAUUUCCCCCAAAAUCGCGCCACGUCGGAGCGAUGUCAGGGGACGGGGCAAAAGGUAGCGUCCACGUCAGCGCGACCUGAUGACGUGGGAGGAAAUCGCUCCCUUGAGGGCGCGAUUUCCUUCCAUGUCAGCAGGUCGCGCUGACGUGGACGCGACCUCCUGUCACUUAGCGCGAUAUCGGGAACGCGAUUUUGACCCUGAUUUUUACGCCUGAGUUUUAUGUUUUAGGGUUUAGGGUGCAUGCUUUUUAGGAGUUAGGGGUUCAGGAAAAUUUUUUUUCGAGUUGACGUUUCUGGUUAAAUAGUGGGAAAUCGCUUCUACUAGGAUGCUAUUUAAGAAGAAAUUGUGAAAUAGUGGCCUCGUGGACGCGAUUUCGCUACAGUGGUCAUGUGAGAAAUAAUUUUUUUUGACGUUUUCUGAGGAAAUAGUAUAAAAUCGCUGAUACCAGGAUGCUAUAUGAGAAGAAAUUGUGAAAUCGCGCCCUCGUGGACGCGAUUUCGCUACAGUUGGUCAUGUAGGAAAUAAUUUUUUUUGACGUUUUGAGCAAAUAGUGUCAAAUCGCACCCUCGUGGACGCGAUUUCGCUACAGUAGCAAGUUUGGGCUGAGGCUAUAAAUUAGGCAGAGAAUUUUCUUAGAAUGCAUAACUCAGAGCAGAAACAUUUUAGGUUAGGGUUAGGGAAUUUAGAGUUUCAAAAUGAGUGAACGUAUUAGUGCUGUUAUUUACUACGAUGGUGAGAUUUGCCACACCGAGAAUGGUGUUGUUUUUUUGUCGGAGAAUACGGUGCGACUGUCAUUUAGACAAAACAUAGAUUUGACAGAACUCCGUAAAAGAAUUAGGCGUAAAAUCUUCGGAACCACGUCAUUGACAUAUGACUCAUCUUGCUAGCGGAGCAACUUAUAUUGAGUUAUAUGUACAAUUUAUGUCACCAAAUGAUGUACUUCCGUCCGGUGUUUGAGAUGUAUACACGACCCCUGGCCGACACUCGAUUAGCGUGUUACAAAAUACGGAACAGCCUAUGUUCGGUAGUGGUGUCGAAUGCACAUCCCCCCAAGACACUCUGUCGGUGGAUGGGACAUGUACGUCGGUGGCUCGACGGUUGACGCUGGAAAUACGAGCUGGAGAACCGCAUCAAGUUCUACUAGAUGGCAAUCUACAUCCAAUUGGGGGCGUUAUCAAAUGCCCAGAAGAAGGGAUGACGUACUACCUACGACAUCAACCGGUGAGGGGACGUCGUAUGCUGCAGAUGAUUGUGGGUUAGAAGGUGAGUCCGAUGUGGAUCCACCUCGAGAGCCCGGGCCGGAUGGUGCAGAGGUGGGACUAUUUUCUGAACCGGAGCCUAUUCCAAUAGAAGGUGAAGAUGGUGAUAUGAGUGCAGAUGAUGAAGAAAAUCCACGAUUCAGAGCAUAUUCACCUCCAGCCCACAUGCAUAAUGUCGAUCUAUCAGCAGAUGAUGCGUUAGAGUUUCCAGAUCUACCACACCGGGUGCGCGAUCGUACAAGUUCGGGAGUAGAUGUUGGUGAACUUGAAGUUGGUAAUCAGUUUACCAAUAAGGAUAGUUUUAUUGGUGCUUUGAAACAGCAUAGCAUCAAAAACGGCGUUAAUUAUCAAAUUGUAUUAAAUUAUGUAUUGAUAAUUGUAUUAAAUUUUGGUUAAAUUAUCAAAUUACUACAAUUUCUUAAAUGUUAGUACCAGUCAAAACAUUUUACGAAAUCCAACAUUAUGUAAAACUACAAUUUAAUUAGGGUUUUUAAUUAAAUAGGGUUAGGAUUUUUAAUUUAAUUAAAUUAGGUUAGGGUUUUUAAUUAAGUAGGGUUAGGGUUUUUAAUUUAAUUAAAUAAGGUUAGGGUUUUUAAUUUAAGUAGGUUAGGUUAGGGUUUUUAAUUUAAUAAAAUUAGGUUAGGGUUUUUAAUUAAAUUAGGUUAGGUUAGGGUUUUUAAUUUAAUUAAAUUAGGGUUUUUAAUUAAGUAGGGUUAGGGAUUUUAAUCAAAUAAUGUCAAAAUAACUCGGAAAAAAUUCUAUUUGUAUUACAUCGUCAUAAACUUCUAAUUCAUUACAUCAAAUGAUUAAUUUUAAUACGGUAAUCAAUGUCUAUGACCGGGGGAUUUUAAUCAGUUCCACAUGGCGGCCGUCGACGGUUACGCGCUGGAUUCCUCCUUUCUCUAGCUUCCAGGGGCGGUUGUUGUUCCUCCGGUGGGGAUUCUGGUUCUUCCGGUUUGGCAUCUGGUUGUCGGACUUGGGACGAUGAUCCACCUUCAAAGAAUAGUGUAUGUGGAGGUGUUUGCAUCAUGAACGGCGACGGAGUUUGAAAGCCAUGCGUUGCUGGCGAUUGGUAAAAAGGAGAGCUCCCCGACGGCCCCCCUUGCGACCCCUCCUGCGCCGAUGGCCUAGUUAUCGGUGGUCCGCUCGGCAUUACAGGAAAUGGAGCUGAUCCGGGCAUUUGGCUCCAACCUGCCAUAGGAUUCGGAAAAGGAUACAUGUACGGGUUAGGGUACAUAUAAGGGCUAGGAAACAUACCUGGCAUCAUAGGGAAAGGUGAAUGCGUGGGUAUCAUCUGUUGAAUUGCUGCGCCAGGUGACUGCGUUGGUGCUCUCGUUGGGGACGGUGAUUACAUGGUCGCUGAUGAUGAACUGGGUGAAUGUCUGGGCCUCGUUGAGGGGCUGCCCUCGUAGUUUUGUCCCCUAGGAUUUUGAGGCCCGCGUCUUUCCCUUCCGACACGUAUUUGCCGCCGCCUCUCCUCCGGCGUAAGUAAAUACGGCUUCCCAUGGGCCCUAAACCAUGCCUUGUAUUCUGGAACGCACGCUAACUCGGGAACGAUGAUUGGUUCCGGAGUAGGUAGAUAUUCAUUCUGAUUUUCCCACAUUUCUGUGUACACUGACCAGUACAACAGCCAAUCCGUACCUAAUAGCCGAAGGUCGAUUUUGUGGUGCUCGUCAAACUCCUCAGGGUCCGCAGGGAUCGGUUGUCUACAUCCAAACUGUCGUAGGACUCUGUCUGUCUGGUGGGGCUCCACGGUUGCAUAGUUGAUCAACACCACUUUCACGUGCCAAGCGUUCAGAUUUUGUAAAAACUCUUCCGGGAUUACUGCCCGAACUGCCGGAUCCUCGUAUGGUGUCCAUUGAAACUAUAUGAACAUGAUAACAAUAUUACAUAUAUACAUAAUACUAAAUACUAAAUAUCAAUCCACUAGCGAAUGUAUGGAAAUAUCUAUUUGCAAUAAUACUUACUUCUGCUUCCGAGUGUUGCUCCAAUAGAAGCCGUAUAUCUUCAAGUUCAGUCGGUAUUCCACGAUAACUUGCCGGAUGGUUCCACCUAAUUAAAUAAAUUUUUAGCAUUCUUUUAUUCUUACAAAAUCUACAUAUCAAUUUCAAAAUGUAAUAUAAAAUUUACCUCGUUACGAGUGGGAAUGUAUAUGGGUGGUUCACUCAAGGACGUAGAAAUGGAAAGCGAAACCAUGCCCAUGAUUGCAGUAGUGACAGGCAACCUCCGAUUUUUGCUCUCCUCGGUUUGGUCGCCCCGCACAUCUCCCGAUAUAAUGUUGCCAAGACGGCAGACCCCCAACUAAAUUCACCGGCUGCUCUAAAAUCAACGAGUUUUAGCAGCCACCUUAGAUGUACACGGCUCCGUGAUGUGUCGGCCAUGAGAUAGCCUCCAAUUAUUUGAAGAAUGUAUGAUCGAGCAUAUCGGAUUCUUUCAAUCUCGGUUGAAUUUUCAUUCAGACCGGGGAAGGUGGCACGUAACCAGCCCAUCUCCACCUUACCUCCAUCCAUUUUAUCCGGAACGGCGCCCAAAAGCUCGUAGCACACCGCCUCCCAAUUGCUAGAUUGGGCAGACCCGUCACUGGGUGCCCAUCCACCGGCAAUCCCAAAUGCNNNNNNNNNNNNNNNNNNNNNNNNNNNNNNNNNNNNNNNNNNNNNNNNNNNNNNNNNNNNNNNNNNNNNNNNNNNNNNNNNNNNNNNNNNNNNNNNNNNNNNNNNNNNNNNNNNNNNNNNNNNNNNNNNNNNNNNNNNNNNNNNNNNNNNNNNNNNNNNNNNNNNNNNNNNNNNNNNNNNNNNNNNNNNNNNNNNNNNNNNNNNNNNNNNNNNNNNNNNNNNNNNNNNNNNNNNNNNNNNNNNNNNNNNNNNNNNNNNNNNNNNNNNNNNNNNNNNNNNNNNNNNNNNNNNNNNNNNNNNNNNNNNNNNNNNNNNNNNNNNNNNNNNNNNNNNNNNNNNNNNNNNNNNNNNNNNNNNNNNNNNNNNNNNNNNNNNNNNNNNNNNNNNNNNNNNNNNNNNNNNNNNNNNNNNNNNNNNNNNNNNNNNNNNNNNNNNNNNNNNNNNNNNNNNNNNNNNNNNNNNNNNNNNNNNNNNNNNNNNNNNNNNNNNNNNNNNNNNNNNNNNNNNNNNNNNNNNNNNNNNNNNNNNNNNNNNNNNNNNNNNNNNNNNNNNNNNNNNNNNNNNNNNNNNNNNNNNNNNNNNNNNNNNNNNNNNNAAUUGAGAGAUUUUGACCGUUGGGCACUGUUCACGCGCGCGUCCACAUCGCGUCCACGUCAACGUGACCUGCUGAUGUGGAAGGAAAUCGCUCCCUUGAGGGCGCGAUUUCCUUCCACGUCAUCAGGUCGCGCUGACGUGGACGCGACCUUCUGCCCCGUCCCCUGACAUCGCUCCGACGUGGCGCGAUUUUAGGGGAAAUGGCCCAGUCCGGUAAAUAAUUAAAAAACCGGCCUAUUUCGGUAAUUUUAUAAAAAAUUGGCUUUUUUUGGUAAAUCCCUCGCUAUUUUGAUUUAGAAAAUUAUUAUAAAUAUUUUUCGGUGUUUGUUUCAAUGGUUUUAUAAUUUCCUUUUCCAGCAGCCGCUUUCAAAACACCACCAGAAUAAUAACGAAACUGAAUCUUUAAAUAAAACCGGCUUAAAAAUAAUAAAUGAUUUCCUAAGAUCAAAAGGAACAACUUCCCUACAAAAUAGACUAGUUAGCGUUGCUGUUAGUUUCUAACGAUCAACGUUGGUCAAAGGGCUUUGUUGGUCAAAAUUGUCAAUUCAAGGAUUCAAUUGAGUAGAAGAGGUUCCGAGGGAUUUAAUUAAUUUUUUUUAAAGUUAAAAUUCUUAAUAAGCCCAUAUUAUUUUGAUUAAUUCUAUUAGUCAUCUCUAAUUUAUUGCCAAUAGUCUUAUAGCAUAAUGUCAAAUUUAGCCACCAUAUUUAUAUAUUUUGUCAAUUUAACUCUUUUUCUUAUUCUUUUUAGCUAAAUUGGCCCUUAGUCUUUUAAAAAAGAGUCAAAAAGUUUUUUUAACAAAAAUCCUGACUAAAACAUUAAUUUUUUAACAAAGUUGGCAUGGAAACUUGUGUUACAGUCCACAUGUACUUCAUGUAGACAUAACUCUAUUUAUUAUAUGCCACACCAACAAGUAAAUUAAAAAUUAUAAAAAAAUUCAAAAAAAAAAAAAUAAUAAUAUGAAGUACAUGUGGAUUGGCAUGUGAGCUGCCAUGUUUAAAAAUUUAACGGUUUAUUUUCAUUAAAAAAAUAACAUUUCAACUAUUUUUGAAAGGUUUAAGGUUAAAUAUGAUUUUUUUAAAAGGUUGAAGACCAAUUUGAGCUAAAAGAACAAAUGUCAAAUUAACAAAAAAGAAUGUAAAUGUUGAGAACCAAAUUUAACGUUAUGCCUAUUCUUAAUUAGUUCUAAACUUCAAAAUAGGUUAAUUAAAUCUUUAAAAUAUUAGUGUAAUAGCCCAAUUUGCCCAGGGCCCAUUCAGAAUAAGCAGAAAAAAACCAAAAAAAUAAUUAAAUGUCCACAGUCUAAAUACAUGGGCCCAACGUGGCCCAAACUGUUUCAACAUAACCCCAAGCCCAAUCACUAAACCCAAUUAAACUACACCUAGCCCAACUACACCAAGCCCGACUAGCCUAAACCCUAGCCUGAAUACCCCUGGCCCAAAAUCGAUUUUUAUGUAUUUUGAAAUCUUUUCAAAGUUCCGACACUAAGACAUUAAACAAUUGAUUCGGUACCAAUUUUGGGCGGCACGAGGGUGCUAACCCUUCCUCAUACGUAACCGACUCCUGAACCUGUUUUCUCAAAAUUCGCAGACCUAAAAUUAUUUUCAAGGUGAUCCGAUCACAUCUCAAUAAAAGAUCAGUGGCAACUCCCGUUUUCAUUUUAAAAGUCGAACCCCGUUUUUCAAACUUAAAAAGGGUUUCGACAAUUAGCAUUGUAUCUAUGCAAUAAAUUUUAACGUAUUAAAAAAUUAAUGUCAAUAAAAUAUUAUCUAUGUUAUAGAUAGAUACGUCUUUACAAUUUGAUCUACGUAUUUCAUAUACACUUUAACUCAAACUUGAGUUGACAUUUAAUGCCUAAACUAAUUGUUAAGCUAAUGGAAAGGGUUGAUUGAUAUGAUACUAAUACUUUGCGGAUUGAAUUAAAACAUUUUUAAAAUUUAAAAUUGAAUUUACAAUCUGCAUAAUUUGAGAACAUUACGUCAUAGUUUAAUGUGUUUAUGGUAAAUUAGUCAAUAGUAUAAUAGUAAACAAGUUACGUUGCCUAGUCCUUGAUCAAACCUGACAUGCUCUAUUAUAAUAGUAAACAUUAACUUCUCUUUACUCAGUUUAAUUGUGGGAUUGUAAUUAUCAUUUAUGUUGGCCUUAAAUCGUAGGAUUAGAACUAUUUAAUUUGACUUGAUUAAUUUUCAAAAUUACAUGCUAUUUCGGUUUAAAAAUUAUUAUAAAUAUUAUAAAUAUUACGUCAUAGUUUAUGUGUUCAUGGCCAAUUAGUCAAUAGGAUAAUAGUAAACAAGUGACGUUGCUUAGUCCUUGAUGAAACCUGACGUGCUCUAUUAUAAAAAUCAAUGAAAAAGAUUAGUGGGAAGAACUGAGAAACAAAAGUCUUUGGGUCUGAAACAAAUGCAUGCACCGAUCUAACUUUCAGAUGCCUUAAAGAUUAUAUGGUUAGGACUUAAAAGAUCGUUAAAGAUUAUUUAUUAUUUGAAAACAGGUUUCUUGCAUUUAAUAUAUUAUUAAUAAAAUUUUAUUGAUUUUAAAUAUAUAUAAUUUUUAUUAAUUUUAAAAAUAGUUAUAUUUAUAUAAAAAGAAAAUAGUAUUGGGUUAAUUGAUUAAAUUGAAAAUUGGUGGUCUGUCUAAUUUUGUACAUACCCAAGAUAGAAAAUACAUAUCUUUAUUAGCUAAUUACUACUUCUUUUUUAAGGAACUAGUUACUACUUUUUAGACUUAUUUAAUAUGAAAAUCACAUUUAACAUUUAAUUAUGUUUUAAUUAAAUAAUUUAGUUCAGUUGGUCCAACUGAUUUAAUUUAUAUUUUAAUUGAGGCUGACCGGCCGAGGGAAGGACUGAAAUGAUAUAUUUCUAUAAUUCUAAAGUUCAACAGAGGAUAAAUAUUUACUUUGUAACACAUUUCUACACAUUUCAUCUUCUAAUAUUUUACAGGCAUCAACUUUGAAUAAGAGAAUCAAACAAAAAGACAAAUCAACAUUUCUUUUAAUCUAUUUGCAAUUCUCAUGCAAUGGGCCGCCCUACACCAAUCUUAUUGUAUAAUUGUUUCCUUGCAUAUAGGUUGUCUUUUUUGACUUAAACUCACCAGUAUAUUUUACCUAUAAAUACAUGCAACAAUUGCACUCUUAUCCUCACAGAUUCUGUGCCAAAUUUCAAGAGCAAACCAAAAAAGGCAGCAAAUUAAGCUUUUCAAUAUUUGCUUUUGAUCAAUCGAAAUGGCUUCACAAGUUUCUCAAAUGCCUUCUUCAUCACCCCUUUCUUCCAAUAAGGAUGAAAUGCGUCCCAAAGCCGAUUUUCAGCCUAGCAUUUGGGGAGAUCUCUUCCUCAAUUGCCCCGACAAGGUAUGCAUACAUAUGACCAUAUUGGUAUAUAUAUAAUCUUAACAGAUUAUUUGUUUAGUUAUUUAGUGAUUCAAUAUGAAGCAAAUUUUCAUUAUUUUGAGCAGAAUAUUGAUGCUGAAACUGAAAAACGCCACCAACAAUUGAAAGAAGAAGUGAGGAAGAUGAUUGUGGCACCAAUGGCUAAUUCAACCCAAAAGUUAGCCUUCAUUGAUUCAGUCCAAAGACUGGGUGUGAGUUACCAUUUCACCAAGGAGAUCGAAGAUGAACUAGAGAAUAUCUACCAUAACAACAAUGAUGCCGAGAACGACCUCUACACCACAUCCCUUCGAUUCCGACUACUCCGAGAGCAUGGAUUCAAUGUUUCAUGCGGUAAUUACUGGAACAACAACAUGGUAUUUUUAAGUUUCUUGAGUAUAUAAUAGCAUGGAAUGUUUGAUAACAAUAUUUCAUUUUGGGUAAUUUCAUCUCAGACGUAUUCAACAAGUUUAAAGACGAGCAAGGGAAUUUCAAGUCAUCCGUGACAAGCGAUGUUCGAGGAUUGUUGGAACUUUACCAAGCUUCCUAUUUGAGGGUUCAUGGGGAAGAUAUAUUGGAUGAAGCAAUUUCUUUCACCAGCAACCAUUUAAGCCUUGCAGUAGCAUCUUUGGACCAUCCUUUAUCCGAAGAGGUUUCUCAUGCUUUGAAACAAUCAAUUCGAAGAGGCUUGCCAAGGGUUGAGGCAAGACACUAUCUUUCAGUAUACCAAGAUAUUGAGUCCCAUAAUAAGGUUUUGUUGGAGUUUGCUAAGAUCGAUUUCAACAUGGUACAACUUUUGCAUAGAAAAGAGCUAAGUGAGAUUUCUAGGUAUGUUUUUGAAUCUCUUUCACCCAUUUUUUUUUCUUUUUUGUCUUUUUUUUUUUUUUUGGUGGAAGGAGGGUUGAAUUUAAUCGCGGCAUCAUUCUCAAUAUAGGAGACGAGUUGCAAAUGCUAAUAUUUGAAUCUUAAUAUAUAGCACAAGUUAAAAGUGAUGGAUUCAUCUUUUUCACUUACAUUAUUUUACUUAUAUUAUAUAAGUUAUAUAUAUAUUUUAAAAUUUGAGGUUGCCAAUUUACUUAAGAAUCUAACAAUUUACUUAUUGACAACAUGAAUGUGAAACAAAUUAAAACUUUGAAUAUUCAUUUUACUAAUGGGGUUUUCUAUGAUAUGAUUUUUUUAGGUGGUGGAAGGAUUUAGACUUUCAAAGAAAGUUGCCAUACGCAAGAGAUAGAGUGGUUGAAGGCUAUUUUUGGAUCUCAGGAGUGUACUUUGAGCCCCAAUAUUCUCUUGGUAGAAAGAUGUUGACAAAAGUGAUAGCAAUGGCAUCUAUUGUAGAUGAUACAUAUGACUCAUAUGCAACAUAUGAAGAGCUCAUUCCCUAUACAAAUGCAAUUGAGAGGUUAGAUUUCUAAAAUUUUGUUGGUAAUAGGUUAGGUUUCUUUAGUUGAAGUUAACAUUGAAGUUGAAUUCAGGUGGGAUAUCAAAUGCAUAGAUGAACUUCCUGAAUACAUGAAGCCGAGCUACAAGGCACUAUUAGAUGUUUAUGAAGAAAUGGAACAACUGGUGGCUGAGCAUGGGAGACAAUAUCGUGUCGAAUAUGCGAAAAAUGCGGUAUGUACAUCAACAAACAUUUAUUUUGUACAAAAGAGAUAAGAUCUUAGCUAAAUUCUAGAUUUGAAUAAACAACUAACUCGAAUAACAAUAUAUAAUCAUUUAAAUAUUAUUAUUGAAUUUGAAUUGAUAUUAGUGAUAAUUGUUGGGAUUUUGUCGCCUCAGAUGAUACGACUUGCUCAAUCUUAUCUUGUGGAGGCCAGAUGGACUCUUCAAAACUACAAACCAUCAUUCGAGGAGUUUAAGGCUAAUGCAUUGCCAACUUGUGGUUAUGCCAUGCUUGCUAUUACAUCUUUCGUCGGCAUGGGAGAUAUUGUAACACCAGAAACCUUUAAAUGGGCAGCCAAUGACCCUAAGAUCAUUCAAGCUUCCACAAUUAUUUGUAGGUUUAUGGAUGAUGUUGCUGAACACAAGGUAUAAUAAUAUAUUUAAAUAAUCACAAGAAACCAAACUAUUAACUCAAUAACGAUGGUUUUUGUCACGAUUUGAAACAAUUAAAGUUUAAUGUUUAUAUAUCAAAUGUUUAGCCUUAAAUCGAAGAAUAAGAAAAGAUAUCUAGUUUCAUUUUAAAAAUAUAUAUAGUUUAACAAACGAAUAGAAUUUAGGUUAUAUAGUGAUUGAAUAAUUUUUAUUUUAUUAUGGUUGCAGUUCAAACAUAGGAGAGAAGACGAUUGCUCAGCAAUUGAGUGUUACAUGGAAGAAUAUGGUGUAACAGCACAAGAGGCAUAUGAUGUAUUCAACAAGCAUGUUGAGAGUGCUUGGAAGGAUGUGAAUCAAGAGUUUCUGAAACCAACAGAAAUGCCAACAGAAGUUUUGAAUCGUAGCUUAAACCUUGCAAGGGUGAUGGAUGUACUCUACAGAGAAGGUGAUGGCUACACAUAUGUUGGAAAAGCGGCUAAGGGUGGAAUCACUUCAUUACUCAUUGAACCAAUUGCACUUUGAAAUCGUAUUAAAUUUUCCUCUUCUGUUCCUUAAGGAA
This 86601-nucleotide long non-coding RNA is filed under the name Gossypium raimondii (Peruvian cotton). RNAcentral's name for it is "long non-coding RNA (GRAI_LNC007809)". The stretch from base 76250 to 76336 matches the Rfam family "MIR7486 microRNA precursor family". The record is from RNAcentral. Lineage: Eukaryota; Viridiplantae; Streptophyta; Magnoliopsida; Malvales; Malvaceae.